RNAcentral lists this long non-coding RNA (57694 nucleotides) under Cucumis sativus (cucumber). The record is from RNAcentral. Lineage: Eukaryota; Viridiplantae; Streptophyta; Magnoliopsida; Cucurbitales; Cucurbitaceae.
GGCCAAUGGAGAGGUUCAAAUCCUUCCGUCCCAGGAUGAUAGGUUGCUCAAGCUGCUUUAGCUACUAAAGCGAGAGGUUGAAGUAGUCUCGAAUAGGAAGGAGAGGUUUGAAUAGGUUUUUAGUCUCGACACAAUAUGCUAAGCAGACGAAUAAAUAAGUACGAAAAGCAUCCUUGAGUAUAAGAUGGUCCACACAGUGGAAUAGGUCUUGUGAGUGAGUCCACGCUUUCCUUCCAUUCAAUCAAGUAAAGAAAGUUGAACUGAAGAGUGCAAGUGUAUGCAUGAGAUUGAAACCCUGGGUUAAGAGUCCUUGAAAACGAAGCUCAGGUCGAAGUAGAGGAAAGGAGUGCAAGUAGAACGAGAUAGAAAUCAAUGAUUUAGUAGGCCUUCUUGCUUUUCUUUCAGCCUCUUCUUCUUUCUUUAUGGAUAGUUCUUGCUGCAGAUCGAACGAGGAUAUGAAGCAGCCUUUCCCCCCAGACGGAGUAAACUCAUCCUGGUAACCUUUCCCUAGUUGAAUAUGAACCAUAAAUACGUGGGAACCGCUCCGUCCUCCUACGCAGGUUAAUAUGUAAUCCUUUUUUAGUGGACGCUACUUGAUUAUGGGGGGAUGAGACUGAUUUAUCCAUAUAGAUCCAUCGAUCCCCCAAUGCAUGCGAAACUGCACUUUCAAGAAUGAAAUACGAAGGUUAUAGGAGGAUGCCUUUUCUCCACUCUUUGCCUAGUGCUGGAUGGAAGAAGGGAAGGGAGAAUGCACCCAGUAGGUGGUAGCCAGACAAGAUUCUUUAGUCAAAGAAGGAAUCAAGCAAUCCGUACCAAGAAGACCUUCAGGCACGAGGUCUAAGCGCACCGACCUUGAAGUGGGGGUCCUUUUGUUCAUUGAGGCGGUUUGGGUUCAUUCUCAGUCAAAGACGCACACUUUCAGACAUCAGGCCAGGAAAUGAAGCAGAAUUCAAUAACGUAGUUCAUUCAUCGCCUCGUGGAAUUGAGUAUGAGAGAAUUUCCGUUUCAGAAGUUCUUUUAAGUGGACGUUGUUGAAGACCGUUGCAAAGCUCCUGCUUUUGCAGCCUCAUCUCUUGCCUCAUGACUGGCCUAAUGCCUUCUUUCUUUCUCUUUAUUUAUUGACUCCCAACGUGGACAAGAACUCUGAUGACCUACGGAUUCAAACCCAGCGCUUCGUCAACUCAUCUGGAGCUUUGAUUUGACUCCCCCAUUUUCAGAGGACGUGAUACGAUUCGCUAAUUCAGACCGGACGAGGCGCUCGACUCGGGUCAAGGGAAGAAGCUAUCUCAAUAAUAAGGAAGAAAAGAAGAGGUUAGGGUCGUCAUCAAUCAGUCUUCGCCUUAUUCUAAAAGUCAAUCUUUCACUCACGCAAUAUGCCUGAAAUUUGAAGGAGUCUUAAGACCGAAGGACAGACGGGUUAAUAUGGAUAGUCCUUCGGACCUGUCUGGCCUCCGUAGCUUAAUAUGAUUUGCUCAAAAAUAUGCGUUCCAAAGCGCUAAAAUUGCCACUUUUCAAUGUUAAAUAGCCGCUUAAAAAGUAUUAUGGAACUGAAAGAAAGAAAAUCUCCGCGAAGCUCAUAAUCAGAUAUAAGUCUAAGAAAGAAAUAAGAAGAUAUGAACUUUCUAUAAGUCCGGAGUAUAAGUAUAAACAAGUCCUCCUAUAAAAAUCAGUGAACAUUGGUCCUUCAAGGUGCAAUGAAAUAUGCGAUGACAUUCUUUCUUUUCUCCAAAAACAAAGGCGAGGCGCAAAGAUCGUGGCCCACUACGCGGUCCCAUAAGACAGGGAUAUUGCGGAGUCUUAUUCCACUAAAUGGUCCAAAGGUCCAGGUGCCAUAAGACAGGUCCGAAGGCGCCAUAAGACAGGUCCGAAGGACUAUCCAUUAGGGUGAGGCGCCAUAAGAUAUUGAUUGAGAAAUAAUAUUUCACUUUCUUUUCUUCCUUUUAUUUCAUUCAACGCAUAUUUCAUUGCGCCUUGUUCAUUGAUUGCGCGGAGCUCCGUGGGCAGUCGCUUCGCUUCGCGCCUUCUCACCCUUGUUCCAAGAACAUCGAUCAGUCGUCUUGACCCAGCCUCCGGCUUCUUAUUCCGCUAUCAAAGUAUUCCACUAAGGAAAUGCGCUUCUCAAAAUUCUUUGUCUCAAAUAGUGGAAUGAAUGAGUUCGGGAGGUUCCCCUAUAUUAACCUGAGGACUGAAAAGAAAGUGAAAUAUUCUGAAUUUCAUAUGGAAUCAUAGUCUGAAUUUCAUAUGGAAUCCUACUCAAUUCAUUCAGCCUUAAGAGUCGCUUCGCUUCGCGCACCUGGUCCGAAGGACUGACCGCAGAGGUUAGCGGUCCUUUCGCAAAUUCUUUGCGCCUACGGGUCCAGAUGACUCUACCCUAUGGAAGCAGAUCCCCAUAUUCAUUAGGCUAGGCCAGAUCCAAGGCGAAGGACUAGUCUGAAAUCAACCAUAUUAACCUGUGGAAUUGAGUCCUCCGGACCACUCGUCUUGACCCGUAUUUCCAUUAUUUUUCACUUUCACCUUUGGCUUUCCUUUUCAUUCAAACUAUAUUCCCUUUAGACCGCUCCGUCUUCCGCGUAGUGCUUUCUUUAUUAUCUGAAACCUUCUUUAGGCUUUCUUUUCUGACUUCACUUUCUGCCUUUUCAUACUUUUGAGUUUAUGCUUUCAUCUGACUUUCUAACUUCAAGCGAACGAGCUCUUCCAUAAGCUAGCUUCCUUUUACUUUCUGACUCGGACUCUUUCUUCUUGUUCAUUGAUAGCUUUCUCUCGUCGAGCUUCGCACCUUCUUUUUAGUCUCUUUACAAAGAAGUCCCACUAUUUAAUGUAAUAGCUAUGAGAGGCUAAAAUCAAGGCGAUCGAUGACUUUCGAAAUCUUCUUUGAGCGUCCUUCGCGGUCUUCGCAAUAUUCUUUGCGCCUCCUUUUUUAGUGGUCCUUUAGUUAGGGUAGAGUCUCAUCACCCCAUUAAUAAAGUUUGGAGUCUUAUGGAACUUGAAUAAGGAGCGCGCUGCUUUAUAGCGGCUUUUAAUGAAUCAUGACUUCUCAUCAAAUUCUUUCGAAAUCUUCUCGCAAUAUUCUUUGCGCCUUUCUCGCAACUCAUAUUGCAUUGAGCCUCGAUCAUUCUUUGAGCCUAACUACGGGGUAAGUAUUACACUACAUCAAGUCUAAUCUUUCUCACGCAAUGAUCUUUGCGACCCACUCCGCGGUCCCAUAAGACAGGUCCGAAGGCGUCACAGGUCCUCCGGACUGCGACUGAGGCGCAAUGAAAUAUGCCUUGAAUGAGAGAGAAAGAAUAUUGAACUUUUCUUCUUUUUCUGACUGGCAGCUUUCAUUCUUGAAUGAGAUCUUUCCGAAGUCAUGUCGAACUAAACUAAAAGAAUGAUCAUUCAACUUACAGUCUUCUUUCUCUUUGUCUUUGUUGUUGAAUUGGACGUUCAUUCUAUCUUUCUUUUCUAAGAGUCUCAUCUUUCCCAUUUCUAUUCUCGGAACAGAGGUAUAUUCAUCAUGUCUUUUUUGCUCCUGGUUAGGACAUCUACUUUUCACGUCUUUGACACGGGUUCGAUUCCCGUUAUACGCGAUGUGGCGAAAGGGAUGAAAGAAGAUAUGCCUUGCCUGCAUUAAGAUUUCAAACUUGUCGUCUACUUUUAGGAAAUGUUCGGAAGAGAGAACUGACAAUAAUACAACGCCGCAUUCUCCGAAACUUGAGAAACAAGAAGAGAUCUAUUAAGAGAAAGAUUUAUCCGAGAGAAAAUCUUAACAGUUACAUCCAAUCACAAACUACACGAAAGUUGCCCCUUUUUCAUGGGGAUUUACCCAUCACAGAGAUGCACAGAGGAAGAGAACGAACUUCUUAUAUCCCUUUUCCACUCAAUCCAGAAACAAGAUCGGACGUUAUUCCGGUUCGUCUCCAUUUUAGUUCAACUAUUCCUCAAGCAAGGCAGCCGAUAAGUCAUCGAAGGGUUUGUGUGAAUAAAGGAAUGGUCAAAAUUACUCAUUUUCAAGUGUCCCACGGUGAUCUAAUAUCUUUUCAAGAAAAUGAGGCGAGAAUCCGCGGUUCAGAAAUAAGGAGAUCUUUCUAUAAAGAAAUAUCAGUUGACAAAAUCAUAGGCAAAUUCCUGGAUCACCCGGUAAGAAUGUGGAGAAGAAAUAAAAGAGAAUGGUUCCACCUACUCAAAACUAAGAGGGGAUGCCGCCUACUACGAAAAUCCCGGUUUUUGCAAGAGUUGCGUUCUUCUAUGCAAGAAGAAGACUUAGAAAGAACAAAGAAGUUUGGAUCGGAAAAAGUAUGCUUAGGCAGUUCCUUCGCUGAGCACAAGAGAAUGAAGAGGAAUUUGUAUCAUUUUCAAUCCCUAUUCUUAUCGAAUAGAAGGAAGGAGAAAAACCUCAAUCUUCCUACUCGAAGAAGAAGUCCUAUAGAAAACAACUCUUCUUUCUAUAGUAAUUCGACCUAUUGCUCCGCAUCCCCCCAUCAGUUUACUAUGAAGAGCAAAAUCAAAAGUCUCUCACUACCUACUCAUUAUUCGGAGGUGAAUCAUAGAACACUAAAAGCUGUGGUAUCUUAUGGACCUAACAUAGGUCACAUCCCUCACGACAUAAGAUUGAAAGAUCCAAACCUUCCUCUUCGGAGCGGAAACGGACGUGGCCAAAACAUAUAAAGAUCGGCUCGCUCAUAGGGACAUAUCUAUCCGUCUCCAGUCUCGUCUAGAUCGAUGAAUAGAUCUCUUUCUAUCCAUAUGUAUCGCUAUCUCCGUGGAUAGAGAUAAAGAGAAAGAGAAAGCCUACCAUCUAGAUCUUGAUUCACUAUUGCCUUCUUUAGCUAAGGACAAGGAAAGAGAGUUUUUCUUCUGUUAUUACUUGCUGGAUCGGAGCGUAUACGAGCGAGUAGAGCCCAGGGAACGGGGAAGCCCGUCAUAGAGCAGUCGACUAGAAGUAUCAGACUGCUGGCCUGAGAGAUUAAAGUAAAGAAGAGUAAGGAAGUUCAUAUGGAAAAAGAAAGAAUCUCAUCUUGAGCCUGAAUUUGCAUUGACCUAGAAAGAGAGGACCUACGGUGCCAUAAGACAGGUCCGGAGUGCCAAAGAAAGGUCCAGGGUCCGGAGGAUUUAUCCGUAGGACUAUCCAUUAGAAGCAGUCCGCAGGAUUUAUCCGUAGGACUAUCCAUUAGAAGGAGGACUAUCCAUAUGGAAGUAGUCCGGAGUCCGGAGGAUUCUUAUCCGUAGGACUAUCCAUAUGGAAGUAGGACCAUCCGUAAUUAACCGAAGUAGGACCAUCCAUAUGGAAGGAAGGAGGACCCAGAGAAAGAAUUUUCUCUUUUUAUCCACCCCAUAAAUCAAGUCCAAAAUAUUAGUUCCAUUAAUCAGUCCCACUAUUUAUUUUGGGGAUCUGGACGGAUAUAAAGAAGUCAAAAGGACUCCUACGGACGGUAAUAGGUUUCAUAGUCCUCCGGACAGGUUAAUAUGUCCUUAUCAAUGAGACCAAAAAAUAGGCGAAUUUCUCUUCUUUCUUUUUUCUUUCGGGGGCCCAGAAGGCUAAAAGGUGGGGGAGAAGCAAGCCGAACCUCUGAUCGACCCCUGGAAACAUCAGAAAUUCUCGGCGUCGAGAGAGAUUUGAGAUUCCGUAAGUAACUCAGCGAGUGCUUUCUAAGCUAAGAAGGGCUUGACUUGGAAGAAGAAAAUGAAAUACGAACAACCGCGCUGGUGGUAAUAGAUCGACUUUCAUGCUAGUUCUUGCUCCAGCAUGUUUGUUCCAUUUCAGGGAAGGACGAGGUACCAUGAUACUUUCCGUUUUGUCGAGCCCAGCUUUGGUCUCUGGUUUGAUGGUUGUACGUGCUAAAAAUCCGGUACAUUCCGUUUUGUUUCCCAUCCCAGUCUUUCGCAACACUUCAGGUUUACUUCUUUUGUUAGGUCUCGACUUCUUCGCUAUGAUCUUCCCAGUAGUUCAUAUAGGAGCUAUAGCCGUUUCAUUCCUAUUCGUUGUUAUGAUGUUCCAUAUUCAAAUAGCGGAGAUUCACGAAGAAGUCUUGCGCUAUUUACCUGUGAGUGGUAUUAUUGGACUGAUCUUUUGGUGGGAAAUCUUCUUCAUUUUGGAUAAUGAAAGCAUUCCAUUACUACCAACCCAAAGAAAUACGACCUCUCUUAGAUAUACGGUUUAUGCCGGAAAGGUACGAAGUUGGACUAAUUUGGAAACAUUGGGCAAUUUACUUUAUACCUACUAUUCCGUCUGGUUUUUGCUUUCUAGUCUGAUUUUAUUAGUAGCCAUGAUUGGGGCUAUAGUACUGACUAUGCAUAGGACUACCCACUCCGCGGUGAAAAGACAGGAUGUAUUCCGACGAAAUGCUCUAGAUUUUAGGAGGACUAUAAUGAGGAGGACGACAGAACCACUCACGAUCUACUAAAGGGCAAGUAGCUUGAUUGGUUCGAAUCCAAGUCGUGAGAGUGAGGGUGAGGAAAAGGCGUAGGUUGGCCUGGCUUUGGCUUGCUCUGGUCAUUAUGGCGAUUGAUGAUCCCUGUGCAAAGAAUAAUAGUCUCCGCGAUCUUAGUUACCUUGAUUUAUUAAGAAAUAGUAUUGUAGGUGGAGCUCCAUAACGUUCUAGCCUCGAGCGUUCUCAGCGAGACAGAGUUGGGGACAGGGUAACCGACCCAGUUGGAGUGGGGGAGCAUACCUGAAAGGGAAUCUCACUUUCAUCGGAAAUAGGCAAAAGACAGAGUCCAGUAAGAUCCCUGCCCAUUUAGUUCUCUUUCCGUAACUCGACAUCGCACCUAAAAGGCAGGAAGAGUUGAUACGGCGCAGAAGAGGUGAGGUCUCAGAAGAGGCCGCUAAAGUCUCUCUUUCAAGGUCUUUCUUGAGUUCUUGAAUCGAAGAAAGGAUUAAGAGAAUCAAUGGGCGAUGAGGAGAGACCAGGAUCGCACGAGACCAACGACAAGAAUGCUCAGUGGCGCUCACAGCUAGGAAAUCUGUCCCACUCCGCGGUAGGGCCGUUGCAGCUGGUAUAGGCAUGAUCAGUAGUUCCAGUUGAUUCGCUCUUCUUGUGGCUGCUGAGUCAGAGUACGAGGGCUAGGCCCAGCCCUUGUUCAUUGAGGCGGUCAAAAGUAGAAAAGAUAUUUCACGAAAAAAAGAAGAACGAAGAUCCCUAGGCAAACUUAUUCCAUGAACUUGAUUCCGCCUUACGUCAGCAUUCAAACUCUAUUUAUUAGUAGGGUCCAGGGGACCAGGGAAGAAGUACGCAAAGAAGAAGAGGGCUGAAAGAAAUCAACGGUCGUCUUCUCGACCAAGAGGAAAAGCUGUCCCCCGUCUAAAAAAAGGCGGACUGUUUUAUGGAACAGAAACUCUCCAACUUUCUCUCUUAUGUUUUCUUUAUGGCAUAUAUUUUGGACCGCCAUAAAAGAUAGGGGAGGAAUCCCGCUCCGUCUUCCGCGUAGUGGGGUCCGGACCAAAGAAGCUCCGCGGACUUCCAUUGACUUUUUCUUCCUCUAAUAUCAAAGUCAAACUUAUAUCCUUUAAGGAAAACUAUACGACUUCCCCCCUCUCCUUACAGUCGAGUUAUUUCAUAACCUCCGGACCAAAAAAAAGCUAUUAUGUCCACUCCUCUUAUUCCUUUCAUCUUUUUCUUCCUUAAUUCGCCUCUCCCUUCAGUCGAGCCUUUAUUUCAUUAUUUUUUGAAUAAAUACGCGCGAGAUGCUAAUGAAAGAGGUCGCUCGGUUCGCCUUUAUCCUCAUCACAUCCUCUCGUUCGUAAACUCGUUCUCGACUGAAUUCCGAAACCCCUUUCUUCGAGGCAGCCUGCUUGACUUGAGUGCUGCGGAUGCUUGUUCUGCCUGUCCGACCCUUGUUUCUGAGGUUUUCAAAUUAUAGACUGACUCUAAAGGUGCGGAUUAAUAGUGGCGAGACUGGUCCUACGUCCUACGUCUGCAGUCCGCAGGAUUUAUCCGUAGUCCGGAGUCCUACGUCCGCAGGGCCAAAGAAAGGUCCAGGUGAUUUAUCCGUAGGACCAUCCAUAUGGAGGGAAGUAGUCCGGAGGAUUUAUCCGUAGGACCAUCCGUAAUUAACCGAAGUAGGACCAUCCAUAUGGAAGGAAUAAGGAGAGCUGAAAAGAAUAGAAUAAAGUAGCAAGAAAGAAAUUCUUCUUUGUGAGUUAAUGCAUUUCAUGCUUUUAUCCUUUUUUUGAUAAUUAAUUCAUUGAGAAUGAAAGAAGCUCAAAAUGAAUCUGCUAGAUUGAAGAGCUAGAUUUCAGAUGAAUCCGCGGAGGGAAAUGCUAGGUUUUGCCCAUAGGGAAGUAGCAAGAAAUCAUGAAAAAUCAGUCAUUUUUAGACAAUUAUCGUUAUUUAUCCAUAUUCGAAAAACUAUGAAAAAGAAGCAAAAAAGCCGGGAAAUAGCAAUUCAAGAAUCAUAAAGGGAUAAGAAAUUCACAUAGUUUGUUCAAACUUUGAGUUUCUGGUCCGGAGAAAGAGAGGUCUAUUCUUUAUUUCACUCCAGGUUAUGGGUUAUUCAAUCAUAAUGAUUCUUUCAUUCGAGUUAUGAAAUCAUAAUUCUUCUUUCAUUCUCGUUAAUGAGCCCGUAGUUAGGAGUAUUAAGACCGGUCCGGAGUCCGCAGGGCCAAAGAAAGGUCCAGGUGAUUUAUCCGUAGGACUAUCCAUUAGAAGUAGGACCAUCCGUAAUUAACAGAAGUAGUCCUACGUCCGCAGUCCGCAGGAUUUAUCCUACGUCCGGAGGAUUUAUCCGUAGGACCAUCCGUAAUUAACCGAAGUAGGACCAUCCAUAUGGAAGGAAGGCGUCACAGGUCCUCAGUCCUAUCCAUAUUAACCCGUCUGUCCUUCGGACCUGUCUGUCCUUCGGUCUUAAGACUCCUUCAAAUUUCAGGCAUAUAAUAUUGCGUCUUUUUUUUUGGCCUUAAAUUAAUGUAUAGGGCUUCCGAGAACAUCGAUAGUCGGACUCGUGAAUUCCACUACCCCGCUCCGUGGGCAUCGACUUUUUCAUUGAUUUUAUUCCCUUGUUCAUUGAUAGUACUCCUUUUGAGCUUUCUGACUUCUUUCUUCACUCAAAUAUCCUCUUAUGAUACUCAAACUCCCACUCCGCGGUUCAAAGAAGAUUGAAUGAAUAAAAGGCAUAGCAUAGGAAGAAUCAGAAUAAAGAAGUCAAUGAAAAGUGAAAAGAAGAAGACUGAACUCCUAACCUCUUCUUUAUGGGAGCUCCGCAAAAAAAAAGAGAGAAUGAAGAAAAUAGAACUCCUCCGUCUCUCUUCUUUAUGUACGUCCUCCCCUUGUUCAUUGAGGUCCGCUCCUUCUACGUCUUUCAAACCCACUAUUUAGUCCUUAAGGACAUAAUAUCUAAAAGAAGAAGAAGACAAGACUACGUAGCUACUUUCAUCUUCUAUAUUAUGAGGCUUACUAGUAAUGCUGAAGUUUCCAUUAGUCCUCCGCAAAUUCUUUGCUCCUUCCUCGCAAUAUUCUUUGCACCUCCCUGAUGGAUAGUCCUUCGGACCUGUCUUAUGGCGCCUUUGCCUUUUUCUUCCUUUCCUCUGAAAAUCUCAUCUGCACCCUUUAGUCCUAUAAAAAGUACAAGAAAAGCAAGCACAAUAUCCCUGUCUUAUGGAACCUUUACCGCUCCGUGGGAAUCCUUAAGUUUCUUUCACUUUCUGACCGCACUACACUAGCUCACUAGGUAUUUCAAAUGCUUUCAUCCACCUAUCAAUCAACUUAGAUAGAUUCAUUUAGCCCCUAGAAAAGUGGCCUUUUUUAUAAGGGGACUAUCCAUCAGGUCCAUAUUAGCUUUCUGCUUGGUACUUAUAACCCCAACCGUCUAAAAUACUUAGUGGGAGAAAAAUGGUAUAUGUUCUAUUGAACUUUUCAUUGACUUCUCCACUCCAAGAGUUCCCACCCUGAGAUUCAUGCUUGGCCUCGAGGCGCCCUGGGAGCUCCCGGUCUUUGCAUGGGUCAAUAACAAGGUUCAUGGGGAAAUCUAGUAAGUGGGUGAAGGAAAGGUGUCAAGGUAUCCUGCUUUCCUUGUUUCAGCGGUUGCACCCUGAGAUUCUCAUGCUCCGCCUGCGUCUCGCCCUGGGAGCGAGCACCCUACGGAGGGCUUGAGCUGGGAGUCGGAACACCGCAAACUCCAGAAUUGGCUAGGCUUUCCCACGGAGCGGUUUUGCACCUGUCUUCCCUACGGGAGCUUGUUGGGGCGGACCUCUGGGAUCCGCAAAAUGGCGGGUCACACUUAGGAGUAGGAGUAUGAAGUUGUUAAUGAUUUCUUGACCGAAAAAGGGUAGCUAAGGACUAUGUUCAUAAGAUCUGGUAAUAGUAAUUAGCUGAGAUUGUCUCAAUUCAAAGGAGGAGUAGUGCCCCACGCUAGCUCUUGCUCUAAACCUCUGAAGUCUCGUUGCAAAAGAAUGAAAUGGUGAAUUAGGGUUCAUUGUUCAUUUUGCUAAAAUGAUUGGAUGCGGGUUAAGGCAAAUCAAAUUAAUACGAGAAAUUUCUUCUUUUUUUUUCAGCAGAGAAAGGAGAAUUGAAUUUUGAUGCGUCUAAGGCCAAAGGUUUUAAUGGUAUAAAAGAUAGAAAUAAGAAAACGAACUUCAAUCGUGGAAAAUAAUCUAAAGGUCUCGACUGAGGAAGGUCCUCAGGCUCCUACGUCUAAUUCAUCUCUCAUUCUUCGUAAUUCAUAUGAGAUAAGAGAAUGCCAAGCCAAAAGAAGGUUUCAGACAGUAAGAUUUACUGGUUUUGGAAAGGUCUUUAGUGGACAAUGAUGAUUCUGCCUGGAUACUUGAUUCAGGGGCCACUAAUCACCUAUGUUCUUUUUUUCAAGGAAGUAGUUCCUGUCAAGCAAGAGCUAGUUGCUGGAGAGAUGACUCUGAAAGUUGGAAGAGGAGAACUCGGCUAUGGCAGUGGGAGACAUAAAUCUUCUCCAAAGAAGGAUAGAUUUUAUUGGAUAAUGUGUACAUAGUUCCUAAGAUUCAAAGCUCUUUUCUUUCUCUAUCUUCUUUGCUUGAAGAAGGCUACUCAAUUUCCUUUUCUCUUAAUUCAGUCUGAAUUGCAAGGUCUUGAUCUUUGUUCUGCAAAAAUGGAGAAUAACUUCUAUGUUUUGAGACCGGUGGAGGGCAAAGCAAUUUUCAAUCAUGAGAUGUUUCAAACUGCUGAGACUCAACCAGCAUUUCUCAAAGUACCUAUUUUUGGCAUUUGAGACUUGGCCACAUUAAUCUCAAUAGGAUUGAGAGAUUGGUUAAGAAUGGGCUUAACAGCAAGUUAGAAGACCUUUCUGUCCGAACAUUGAGUCUUGUCUCGAAGGUCAAAUGAGAAAACGACCUUUUACAGGAAAAGGUUAUAGAGCUAAAGAACCAUAUUCACUGGUCCUUUUUAUAGGUAUGACGGCAAAGUUGAGGAGGGUAUGAAUAUUGAUUGAAUUGAUUCUUAUUCUAGGUACGGUUAUCUAUACCUCUAGGGAAAAGUCCGAAACCCUUGAAAAGUGAAAGGAGUAUAAGGCAGAGGUUGAGAACCUAUUAGGUAAAAGGAUUAAGACACUUCGAUCUGAUCGAGGUUACGAGUAUAUGGACUUGAGAUUCCAGGACUAUUUGAUAGAAGACGGAAUUAGGUCCCAACUCUCAGCACCUAGUAGACCACAGCAGAAUGGUCUAUCGGAAAGGAGAAAGAGAACCUUGUUGGACUCCUUCAGAGCUAUGCUCAUUUGCCUAAGUCGUUUUGGGGUUAUGCAGUAGAGACAGCUCUUUCUAUUCUGAAUGUGGUUCCGAUCUUCAAGACCUUUUGAGCUCUGGAGAGGGCGUCAAGUAGUUCAUAUUGAAAGAUUAGGGGAUGUCCUGCAUAUGUGCUAGUGGCAAACCCGAAGAAAUUGGAACCUCGUUCUAAUCGAUGCCUAUUUGUAGGCUAUGAAAGGAGAGGUGGAUACUUCUUCGAUCCAGAAGAAAAGAAAUGUAUCGAGAAAUGCUACUUUCUUAGAAGAAGACCACGUUAAAGAUCAUAAACCACGAAGUUGUCUUAAGUUCAUUUUCUGGUUCAGCUAGAGAUAGAUCAAGAAGAGUUGUUGAUGAUUCUUGUCCUAAAACAAGAGUUGUUGACGGCUCCUAAAUAAAGAAUGUCAUCUUGACCUUUCUUUUUGCUAAAGUAGGUUUCAGGUUUCGGAAGAAAAAGUUCAAGGUGCAAAGAUCUAUGGCCCACUACGCGGUGCAAUAAGACAGGUCCGGAGGACCCCUUUGAUAACGAUAAAAGAUGAAAAUGAAAAAUGGCUUUGCUUUCGUAUUUAUUUUCUCUUUGGAAGGAGCGGAGCAUAAGAAGGGGAGGACUUUGAUGGAAUAUCUUCCUUUCCUGACUGAACUUUCUCCUAGGAAAGAGACCGGCAAAGAGAGGUUUCCCCUGAAAGAGAAAGGAGAACUAUAUCCCAAUCUCAAAGAUGCUCGCCCGACUCAGAUAAAGGCUAGGUUUGAGACCGAUCUACAUCUGUCUUAGUUGCCUAAGACGAAAGAAAUAGGGUAGUGCUGCUUGGGACUACAGAAAUGGUUGAAAUUGAUCUCCUGGGCAAUAUUCUUUGCACCUUUCCUGCAUUUUUAUGAAACUGAGGCCUCGUGAACUGGCCUGUCCGUCUUUCUCUCGCUGGAGCAAAGAAGACGGGUUUCCUUCUUGAGUUUUUUGAUGGUUUUUCCGCAGUGUGCCGCAGAAAGAAAGAAAGAAUUCCUUCAGCAGGCUCUUUUCGUAUUCCGGCCCCGAGUCAGAAUAAGGAUAGGCAUGGUCCCAUUUCCCAGUGAAUAAGUAAAUGAGACAUUCUACCGCUUCAAACUGGAAAGUUUCUAGGGAUUUCUCCCAUGCAAAUCUACUUUAAUAGGGAUCUCCUCGAUCGGAGAAAGGCUGUUGAGGGGAAUGGAGUAGCAGAGGAGGUAGCCUGGUCGAUCUUUUAGCCUCACUCACCUUAAUUUAAGGUGGAGUGGUUCAUUGACCUUCAAACAAAGCAGGUUAAGGGGUUUUGUCCUCCCAAAGAAUUUCUUCUACCCCGAUCAUUCUUUCUCAAUAUUCUUUGCGCCUUUCUUUUUCAAAUAAAGCUAAUAUGAAUAGUCCUACAAUAUCCCGCAUAUUUCAUUGGGCCUCAGUAGCUUAAUAUGGGAAUUUAUAGGCGCUUCGAAUAUGAAUUCAUCCUAGCAAAAAGAAAGAAUGUCUUUCUGACUCUACCCGUGCAAAGAAUAUUGCGAAAGCAGAUCCCCAAGAUCUCCUUAAAUAAAGAGAGACUGGGCGAACCCCCUAUUAUGAGAGGAAUCGGAUGCGACCGAGUAUCGAAGUCGCUCUUGAGUAAGAAUCUCUUGCCCUUGUUCAUUGAGGCGGGUCCGGAGCUAUCUUCUUUCAGUUUCAGUUGCAUCCUUCUUUCUUCUUUCAUUCUCUUUAGCAUGAGAUCUUUCCCCUCUCCUCUGUAGAGGAUCGAAAGAAGCGGCUUUACCGAGAGAUAGGAUUGGCAGCCCUCUUCUUUCUCUCUUUCAUAGGGUGGAGGAUGGAAUCGACUCGGAAGGAUGUAAUUCAAGGAGAGGCGAGAGAGAGGCCCCACCCCGGCCGCUAUCCUGCUGAUUUCUUCUUGAGUAUGCGUCAUCGAUCGGUCUAUGGAAAGAAAGGCAUAUUUCUUCAUUUUAUGACUUUUCCCAAUGGGAGUCCAUUUGCACAUCAUAAAGUGCGGGUCCACUAAGCCGCUGGGAUCAGAAGAAGGAGCUUAAUAUGUAUGGAGUUGAACAGUCCCCAUUAUCUCGUAUAUUCAGAACUCCCGAGUACCAGGUUCAAUGUAGUAUCGGCCGAAGAGUCCCCACUACGCGGGUCGGUCGGGGAGAGGGGCGAAGAGACUCGACCGUAGGGAGAGGUUCUCAGACGCAAAGAGGGAUGUUUCGGAAGUUUCAGAAGAUCAGCACCUCUCAAAUACUUUGACCCUGACUCGCUACGCAAAUAAUAUGGUUUAUUGUAGGCACCUCGCUCGAGCUAGCAGCGUACUUCUUUUUCCGAUUCCUCAUUCAAGUGAGAAUGCUAACUUCUGAUCCUUCUUUUAUUUAAUCUAUAAAGAAUCAAAGACAGAAAGAAGGAGUUGUCCUUGUUGUUCUCUUCUUUGAAAUCUUUGCUUGAAUUCUGAAAGAAUGGUUGGUUGGUGACCGCUUCGACAGACAGAUGGAAAGCUUGACUUGAUGACAGACACUCCGAUCUGCUCUACCCCUUUUUUCCCUUCUUUCUUUCGAUAUUGGCGUAUAAAAGCCUAUAAUUGGAUUCGUCCAGUUCAACUGGGAAUACCGCUUGAUGUGAGAGAGCGAGAGCCACAGAAAGAGCUUCUGGAACAGCAAGAUCUUCAGCCGAUGACGCGGACUCAGCAGGUGGGACUGAUUCCUAUGAAACUGAGAAUGCUAACUUCUGAUGAUUCAAUGGAAGAAGGAGCUCUCUCCGCAGCACCCAACUCUUCUGAAAGAGGGAAUUCCCUUGUUGUUCGGGAUGUGACCUGUCGACCUCUUCUCUUUCUUUUUCUUCCUCUGAAACUUAUCCCCGGACCAAGUCUGACUCCGCUUAAGGCCCCGAUCCUCUUUCUCAUCAAAUCCCCCGUCCUGGAAAAGCCGUUCAAAGAGGAGAACAUAACCUAACAAAAGCUACUGAAGAAAGAGGUAAAGGUGAAAAGGAUCAAAGUAUUUGAGCUUUGCGCCUAUCCUCAACGUCUAUAAACUUAUGCAGCAAAAAGAAAAGCAAGGGCUGCAUAGUCUACUACUUGAGUUGCACCAGCAACUUAGACAACCGAUGCCGAUACAGCUCAAUCUGGUCUAGCGCCGACCUACCCUACUUUAGAGAGUUUUUCCGAACCGAACUGAAAGAGGGACCCAGGGACGCAAGCCGCAGAAUCAUCAGGCUUUCCUGUGCAGGUUUGAAUCACUAUUUUGGAGUGUUCUACGAACUAAACAAAAUGGGAUCCCACUCCGCGGUAGAGGCUCAAAGUAUUAUCUCAGAUUUCCGCUUGAUUUUACAUCUCAGGGAAUGAAGGUGAGACCUGAUGUUCUUGCAUCCCUGGAUAAGAAGUGGCUCCUCUUUCUUCCUCUUUCCCUUACACAGCAAGGUUCAAAGCCGUCCGGAGGACCAUCAAAGAAAGGUCCAGGGUCCGGAGUCCGGAGUCCGCAGGAUUUAUCCUACGUCCGGAGGAUUUAUCCGUAGGACCAUCCAUAUGGAGGGAAGUAGGACUAUCCAUAUGGAAGUAGUCCGGAGGAUUUAUCCGUAGGACCAUCCGUAAUUAACCGAAGUAGGACUAUCCAUUAUCCGGAGGACCACUAUUUACGAAAAUAUGAUGAAUAGUCCAGAGGUGCAAAGAAUAUUGCGUGAAAGCAGAAUAUUGAUAUUGCCUGAAACCUAAUUUGAGCAUAUUGCCUUCCACUUAAAAAAAGGUAAGCCCACGGAGCGGCGCAAAGAAUAUUGCUCAAAGCUUUUCAUAUUGCUCAGAUUUUCGGUUCAUCUUUCUCAAUCUUCUUUGAGCCUUCGCCUAAGAGCGCAAACCAAAGGCAAAGGACGGGUCGAGAACGAGAAGUAGGGCAUCAGUGGUAUUAGAAGCAGCAGUCGCAGUUCUUCUUCUUUUGAAAAAGGAGAAGUUCUUCGAUCAGCUCUUGAAUGAGAAAUAAGGCAAAUAGCCUAACCCACUAAAAUCAAACUCAAUUGAAUCGAGGUCAAAGCCUUCUAAUAAGACUCCUCAGAUAAUCAGCCUACGGCUGGGUAGAAAGACGGCUAUAAUCCCAGUACAAAGAGAAAAAAGCCAAUUCGCGAAUAAGGCCUUUGUCAUGAAUAUGGAUAGUCAGCUGGUCCGAAGGACUGACCGCAGAGGGUUUUUGCUUCUUUCGAAAUCUUCUUUCUUUCUCAAAUAUGAUUCAAUCAAUAGCUAAGGAUAUUCUUUCUUCCCGCUACGUGGGCUUGUCGCAAAGUUCUUUAUAGAAGGCGCAAAGAAUAUUGCGAAGACUUCGGACCAAAAAAGACUUCUGCAGACGAAGGAGUCAGUUGAGUUAACUAGAAAUCUCCUUUCUUUAAAGACAGGGAUAUUGUUGAGAAGACUCCAAAAUGCAGUAAGGUGGAAUAAAGAUGCUACGAAGGCUGAAUGAAUAUGAGAAAGAAUAUUGACAAUGAAUUCAUGGAUGACUUUUUGUAGUUCUCAUUUUCUUAACACAUUUCAUUCUAAGAUUCGGAAAGUGGUCACAGUAAUCAAUGAACAAGGGCAGUGGUUUUCUUGUAUCAUAUUCAAGUCAAAAACAAAAGCUCAUCUGAAACCUGCAAAGAAUAUUGCUCAUUUGAGAUCAGGUCCAUAUUAACCUGUGGUGAACCCCACUACGCGGUAAAAAAAAGAGCAAGUGGCGCGGCUUAGUUUCCCCCGAAAGGAAGACGGAGCGCUUCGAUCCGAUGCGCAUGCAUGGGGUUUUUCCCUGAACUCUGCUCUCCGUCUAGUUCAUCCAUUUCUUUAUCCGAGUUCAUCAACAAUAUAUAUAAUAUGAGAAAGAAGAGCUUCUUUCACUUCAAGAACGACUGCCGCCAAGGCGUACAGCCUCUGGUCGAAGAGAGUGGGGCUCGAACCCUCAACUGCAUUCUCCCCUAAACAACCCCUGUCCCACUCCGCGGUCGUCAAACUUAUCAGAUAGACAUUCUUUCUUUUUGCUUUUUGUUAGGCGCAAAGAUCUAUGGAAAGCUCCUCUUGAGUCUGAUUCCAAUAAUAUCCGUCAUGAUUCCGCUAAAAGUCUUGUCAAUAUUCUUUGAACCUCGCAAUAUUCUUUGCGCCUCACGCAAACUCAAAUUUCAUUCAGCCUUACCCUUAUUUUUCCUUACAGUCGAGCCUUCUCAAAUUCCCUAAUGGAUAGUCAUCUGGACCCCUUAUAAUUGGGCUUUGCGCCUCGCAAUAUUCUUUGCGCCUUCUACGCGGUCAGUAUUUAUAUAUAACAAUAAGAGAUAGCAUCCGUACUCUUGGUCUUCUUUCUUCUCUCUUCUUAGAAGUGAGAGAGCAAGUCAAUUCUGACCUUCCUUCUCCUUCAACCGCCUCCUUCGCACCUCGUCGGGCGAGCAUGGGAUUGGGAUAUAGUUCUCCUUUCUCUUUCAGGGGAUGGGGAUCCUCUCCGCUCUCUUUCCUAUUUCAAGAGAUCUUACCGCUACGUGGGCCUGAUGAAUAGAAUGAAAUACCUUUUCAAGGAAAUCUUUCAGUCUCUGAGGAUCAAAGCAAUUUCCCCGGGUUUAUUUCAGUUUGCACGCUUGGACUUGCGCUCCUUCGCUUCGCGCCUUGCCACCUCGCAUUCCUUUUGGGGUUUUUGGAGUUGAGAGAGUCAAUCUCUUUUCUUCUCACAAAGGGGGAUAAAGAAAUGUUCAGGCUCAAUACGAUCUCUUACCGAUCGAUCUACUAAGAAGGCUAGAAGAAGAAGGGAUGCCGCAUCCGAGAGCACGAAUCUGCAACCGCUACUUUAUGAUUUACUCGACUAUUACAAAACCCACUCCGCGGGCCAAGACUGAGGAGGGCGAGAACUGCGACCGGAACUGCCAAGGAGGAUUUCUUUCGGUGAGCUUACUCAGCGCUCUGCCUCCGCUUCAAGAAGAAAGAGGUACGGAUUCUUCCCUUCUUCUCUUUCGACGAAAGAGAUGAUUGGGAAAGAGAAUGGGGUGGCAGACGUCAAGGACAGGAUGAAUCUCCAUUUUCCAUGACUAAAAUCCCACUUUGCGAGUUCAAAUGUGAAAUUUCUUUUCGCCAUAGUAAUCUGAAUAGGAUUUCCUCAUCAAAGAAAAGAUAGGAUAAGAUAUAAUAAGAUAUAAGUAGUGCAUGCGUCAAUAUUCUUUUCACCUUGCUCUUCUUCUUCUUUCUGAGACUUUUCUCCUUUCUUCUCUUUAUCUUUACUUCUCUUUCCCCUAUGACUUUUCUUCAUUGAUCUCUUUCUUUCUCUUUCAGUCUUCUUUCUUUACCCUGUGACGUGGAUGGAUCCCUAGCGGAUCUACCCGAGCGCUUUCUCUGAGAUCCGAUCUCAGAACGUCAGCCUCAGCCACUUCCGCCUCUUGAUUAAAGGACGAGUUUGUCUUCCUUGUCGCCGUCAUCUCUUCCCUCUCCUUCGUAAACUCAGUCUCGUCAAUAUUCUUUGAACCUCUGACCUCCGAUCCCGCGGAUCUGCCUUCUUCCUUUGAAAGUGAUCCUGAUUAUCAUUCCCGGCUAGUCCUACUCACAGAAAGAAAGAGUACUGAUGGAGAUGGAAGAAGAGCUAAGCCACUAACUCAGACCCAGCUGAGGCUGCCGAAACUGAGACUUCUGCCGAUCCCCUAGGUAAAGCAGCUCUCUCCGGAACUCCAAGAACUGCUCUUGCUUCGGAAAGAGAGAAUGAAAGAGAUCUAGCUAGAGCAAGGGUUCCUGGUUCAGGGGACCCAACUCAAGAAGAUGAAUGAAACUCGGGCCGGUGUAGCAGCUUUCUUUGAACCUAUUCUUUCUCCUUCUCAUGCUAACCCUUAUUCAUAAAGAUACUUCCUUCCCCGUCCUCAGUCCUAUCCAUAUUAACCCGUCUGUCCGGAGGACAGGUCCGAAGGCGAGAAAACAGGGAUAUUGAUGAUUUGAGUGAAAUCAAAAUCAAAGAAUUGUCUUUUCGCUUUCUUUUCUUUACUUUCUUAUCGUUAAUGAGUGGAAGUAUAGGUCUGACUAUUUCUUUGAUCUGGAGCUUGAUUUUUCCAGUCGCAAAAUAAUUGAACCGAAGGCUCAAAGAAUUUGAGGAGCAUAUUUCAUUGCGCCGGAGGACCACGGAGCGGCGCAAAGAUCUAUGGCCGGGUCCAGAUGACUAUCCAUUAGGGAGAUCGGAGUAGGUGCAAAGAAUAUUGCGACUUUGUGCAUCUUUGCGUUAAUGAGCUCAUUUUCUUUGAUUUACGUAAAGGCUUCGCGCCUUAUUUAUUCAAGUGGAAUUAAUCAGUCCGAAAAUCAAUGAACUUUGCGAGUUCUAUAGCUAAAAUCAAGGCGGUCGAUUCAAAAGGUGAUAAAGAAGUCCUUCGCUUUUUGAUUCGAAGCGUGGAGAUAGUCAUCUUUGUUCUAGUCUUUCUUAAUGAGGGGAAAAAUGGGGUCGAGGACUUUCUCUUGAUGACUUUUAGUAGGUUAACGGUGGAUUAUUCCCAGAAAAAUACCGGUACUGAAAAUCAGUCAAAUCACUUUCCUAGGAAAAGUCACCACCCGCCUAUGGAGCUGGUUCGGAUUGGGAAGGGGCACCGAUCCUCCCUUCUCAGUCUUAGGAUUUGAGGUUAGUCUUUGAAAUGACUUCUAACCAAGGGCUUUCCUUUCUUGGACCUGGAUAUUCCAUUCUUCCUUCUUUUUUCAGCCUUUCCCUUCCCGUUGAGAUCCGGAACUUCAGGAUCCAGUAUAAAAAAUCAGUCUUGGAAAAUGAGAAAAAAUCAAGGUAAAUAGAGUUCAGAGGCUUGAAAAGAGAUCUCCGAUCGGACAACUGCUAUCGAGGUCUAGCCGCCCGCGAAAGGGAUCUGAUCAAAAUGAAAUCUGAACAUGGCUUUAGCCCAUUUGGGGCUAUUCAGGCUUCACCCCGCGACAGGUCUCCUCCCACGUAGCGGUAGUUUCCCCAUGGUUUGAUGAUUUCUUCUCAACUCAGUGAAAUCACUUUUCUAUCUUCCGAGGUGAAAUCCUACUUUUUUCAGCGGUUCUUAGCCAGUAAAGAGAGGAUAUGCUUUUCACAUUAAGAUCCAUACUUAUGACUCUUCCCGGUUCCGAAAGUCCAUAUGAGAAACCCCUAGAUUUCAAGAAAACCCUAAGUCUAGACUGAGAAUGACCUUUCGUCCUCCCCACCCUUACCUAUUCGGAAAGAGAUCCUACUCUUAUUCCCUUCCAAAGGCCGACGGAGCGGUUUGCGUAGCGGGAAGAGCGGACUUCAACCUUCCCCUGCCUCUUCCUCGUAUUCUCAGCCUCUCUCAAAAUCAAGAAUGUCCUUCUGAAAAACAAAGCGGAACUCAAAUUUCAGGCAAAGAAUAUUGCGUUGGAACUUUUCUGACUCAAUGAGACCACUAAUAGACAGAGGAGAGGUUUUAGCAUUCUCGGAACAAAAGUGCCCGUUGUCAUUUGCGUAAGACAAAGAUUCUUUCAGUCUGAGUAGUUUCACGAGUAAGCAAAAACAAGGGUGCAGAUGAGCUCGACCUAGAGGGAGAGGGAUGAAGUAUCUCCACUCCACCAGUGGGGAAAAUCAGUCAAAUCAGUACUCCCACGUAGCGGUCACAAGACGGACGCUUUUCAAGCUCUUUCAUAGGCUAGACUGGAAAGAAGAUGUGCCAUUUGAAUCCGAAUACAUUAGCUGCUGAGUCAGAGUACGAGGGCUAGGCCCAGGCAAAGGCGAGACCAGUAGCAGCUCUUUCUUCAGUUUCAGUUGUUGUCGUUGAGUCAAGCUAUUUAUUCUCUCAAAAUGUAGAUUUAGAAGCUGCCCAUAAAUUUACCUGAAACCCUAUCUCUUCCUUCGACUUCUACUGAAUUUCGACUUCUACUUUCUGAAAGUGAAUCCCCUCCACAAAGGUACCGCCCGGAAGUUGCUCCAUUUCAAUCUACUAAGAUCCCAGAUGCAAAGACGGUUCUUUCCUUAAUAGGUGUCGGAAGCUGUCUUCCGGAUUGACCAGAUUUCAUAGGCUUUCUGAACGAGUGGGAGGGCGAGACUGGUCCGGAGGACUUGUGAAUAAAGGGUUCAAAGAAUAUUUCAGAUCUUUCAUGAGAUCUUUCUCUUGUUCGCUCGGUAAGCUUAGAGCUAAAUACAGGCUUUUCUCUGAUUAUUGUAAUGUCAAGUCUUUUCCUGAAUAGAAUAUGGAGAAAGAGCUUUUUUAAGCAGAAGCUCGACAACAGGGCUGGGGAAUCAGAAUGAGAACUGAGAAGGGCUCAACCGCCUAUCUCUUCCUUCUUAAGCCUGACGCCUCUUUGUCUUUUUAAGCUUGUCUUUCUUCAUGUCGCAAUAUUCUUUGCACCUCUCCUAAUGGAUAGUCCUUCGGACGGAGGCUCUUUGAAUUUGAGGAGCAUUUAUCUAAGAAAAGAAGAAAGGCUCCAUGCAAUAUGAGUUUGAUAUCCAUAUUAACUUUUCUUUGAGCCUUCUUUAUUGAUGGAAGUUCUUGAAGGAAUGCUUCUGAUAUUCUUUUCUUCUUUCUUUUCUAUUAUGAUCAAGGAGAGGUUAAGUGGAUAGUCAGUAGGAUUCAAGCCAUAGCACAACCCAGUCCGGGUAUACAAGUUCUCAAGAGGAAGGAGGGAUCCCACCAUAAGUAACUCGACAGGGAAAGAGACCCAAGCAAAGUCAGUCGACAAAGAGGUACAAAUCGACCAGGACGCUCGACCCAAGGAUGUGAACUUAUUUAUUCAAUUCAUUCAUUUUCGGCUGACAGGAAUAUGAAUUUGGUAGAUUUCUUGAAGCAUGCUGUGUUCACGCCUUUGGCUGAAAUUUCUCUCUUGAUAUCGCACCUUUCUCCUGGCUUAGUUGCGCCAAACCAUUGGAUUUGACCUUCAAUCAAGGUUAUUUGAGGUUAGCCACCUAUGGCGAAAAGUCAACCUUAAUAAAAGAGAAGAACCUACUUCAAAGUUCAGUCAGAAAAGACUACUGAUCCAAAUGAAAUUCCUCCUAAAGAAAUAGGAUGAAUAGUCCAGAGGCGCAAAGAAUAUUGCGAGGAGCAAAGAUCUAUGGCCCCCAAUUAUAAGGGGUCCAGAUGACUAUUAGGGAAUGAUCGGCGUAGGUGCAAAGAAUAUUGCGAGAAAGAAGAAGGAGUGAAAGGAGAGGCGCAAUGAAAUAUGCCUUGAAUGAAAGGAGAGGCGCCAUAAGACAGGUCCUCCUUCCUUCCAUAUGGAUGGUCCUACUUCCAUAUGGAUAGUCCUACGGAUAAGAAUCCUCCGGACUGCGGACUGCGGACUCCGGACUUCUUCCCUCCAUAUGGAUGGUCCUACUUCCUUCCAUAUGGAUGGUCCUACUUCCUUCCAUAUGGAUGGUCCUACUUCGGUUAAUUACGGAUGGUCCUACUUCCAUAUGGAUAGUCCUACGGAUAAGAAUCCUCCGGACUCCGGACUACUUCCCUCCAUAUGGAUGGUCCUACGGAUAAAUCACCUGGACCUUUCUUUGGCCCUGCGGACGUAGGACUCCGGACUACUUCGGUUAAUUACGGAUGGUCCUACGGAUAAAUCACCUGGACCUUUCUUUGGCCCUGCGGACGUAGGACUCCGGACUUCUUCUUUAAAAAGAAGGGUCCAGGUUUCAUAAGACUCCUUCGGAGCGGUCUUCGCAAUAUUCUUUGCACCGCACCGUGGGGGAGGCUCAAUGCAAUUUGAGUUGCGAAAAGGCUAGGUUUUUUCUCAUACCGGUCUCAGAUAAGGGCAUUCUAAGUAGUAAUAAUUGAUCAAAGGCUUGAAAGAGCUUGCCAAGAAAGGAUUGGAUCAGAUCAGCCUGGAGUUGGGCCUGAGCAUAUCCGCAAAUCUUUCACCCUUCGCGAAGCGCCUGCGCUUAGUAGAUAGAAUGACCGUAGAUGUGUCCGCUAAAGAUGAUCCUGGAGUGAAGGGUGGUAGAAUGAGCCUUCAGGACCCAAUGUGCUUAUCCACUCGCCUUAGAACAGCGGGCCUAGGCUCCCACGGGGCGGUAGCAUCUCGAGUGAAAGGCAGCAGCCGUCAUGGCCGCCGAGCUAAACGCAUGAUAGUGAUGCUAGCCGGUCACGCCCUACUUUAUCCAUAGCACUUGGAACUGUGAUACCUCCUUCGGUUCUUGCUUACCCCACCGGUGGCCUCUUAUAGAAGACAUAGAAAGCCUCCUGACGCCAGUCGAAGUAUAGACGAAGGAGACAGAGAAUAGAUUAGUAGCUAAAGCGGAGUUGACGCAAAUGAGCUUCCAAAGUCUCCAUCAGCCUAGCAUACCAGGGAACCCUUGCUGCGAGACUGCCAAAGCAUCUAAUUCCGAAUCUCCUUUGAAUGUGAAAAUGGUUCAUAGUCGGACGUAGAAGGAGCGGAGCCAAGUUCGAACUAAUAGGCGUAGUAGGCUUUCUUUAGUGGGCUCCCUCCGCCAUAAUCAAAGAUAAGGAGGACUUCCAUUGACCUUUUCUUCCGUCCGGAUUGCUCGAAGUGCUUUCCCCGCGUAGUGGGAUUCUUUGAGCCUCUUAUGACUUUCUUUCUUCAUUUCAUCUCUAAGCUUUCUCUUGUUGGAUAGGCUUUCUUCAGUACUUUUUAGAUUUGGCCUUGUUCACGCAAUAUUCUUUGCACCUCUCCUCGCCUAUUUAAUAGAAUGAAUGACUUGCACUCAAAUUCCCUAAUGGAUAGUCCUUCUUCGCAAAUUCUUUGCGCCUCCUCAAAGAAAAGCUCUAGAUGAGGCGGAAUGAAAUAUGCGUAGAAUGAAUGAAUCUACCCUUUACCACUACUUAGGAGCAGCUUAAUAUGUGAGCGGGAAGGAAGAUCAUAUUAUAAGAUUAUGCCUGGAGUCCGGAAGACGGAAAGGAAUUUCAUGAAUGAUCGAGGUUCAAAGAACAAAAAGAAGGCGCAAAGAAUAUUGCUCAGAGAUCCCCCGAGUAAACUAAGCUGGUGGUCGGUCUGGUACGGUGCUUUCUUGAAAUCUUCUUUGAACUCAUUGUGAUAUUGAAUUGAAGGUCGAGCAAAAUCUCAAAUUCUUUCUGCAACUCAUAUUGCAUUGAGCCUUUGUUUUUUCCUUACUUACGGAAAAGCGUAUUCACACCUCUCCUUAACAUUUGUUAGUGGUCCUUUUUCUUUAUCAAGCUUUUCCUGUGGAUAAAAGAGGUCCGGAGGACUGGUCUCGCCUAUUUCAACAGCACCUAUCUAUAGAGCCCUAAACACGGAUGAGUUCUUAUGCUGCCGAUAGUACUUAGUCAGAAGUCAAGAGGAGAGCUCCUUUAUAUCUAUAUCGCUCCUAUCCAGUCGUAUGAAUACCUUCUCCCGAUCCUGAGAAUGAAAGGACGACGGAUGGAGAUUUCAGUUACCUUGAUGUAGACCCUAUUCUUCAGCCGCCCCUACGAUUGAUUCUGUCUCUUCCCUUGCUUAUUACCUUUAUUUAUUACUGUUCCCCGAACCGAAUAGCUGCUUGGUCGACUUGGGCUAGCGGCGUAGAUCCCAUUCUAAGAAAGAAUAAGAAAGUGGAUAUGUGCAAAGGGCUAGCUUUCCAACUAAGUCUUCCCUUUAUUUUGUAUCCAGCGCCUCUAUAAGUCUCGCUCAAUUCCAUCGACCCUCUCCGGCAACCGCUCCAACUCCUACUACUGAAGGUCAAUCAAUCGGGUGAGGCCUUCAAAGCUUCAACUCCUACUACGGACUUCGCUCCGCUAAAAAUAGUGGUUGAUCUGAACAAGACAAAGAAAAGAGUGAAGUUAUGAACUUCCGAGCUGCUAAGAAGAGUGAUAGCGCUUGAGCUUGAUGCUCGUUCAGCCAGAAAAUGGGAUUGGGAUAAAAAAAGAGAUAAUGAAUAAUACUUCUCAUAAUGCAAGAAAGGUCUUGAAUUCCCCGAUUCCGCUCCGUCAAUCCCAAUUAUCAAGUAAGAAAAGAAGUGUCAGAAUAGAGUUCUUCUUUCAUUUCUUAUUUCUUUGUUAUCAAAUAGAGUUCAUAGUUCGCGCUUGACUCAUCAUACUCAAGGAUGCUUUUCGUACUCAGACUCUGGAUGUCUUACCUUCGCACCUUUCUUUAUGAGUCUUCCGAACUUCUUAUUUGAGAAUGGCGGUAUGAGUGCUGUGCUUCGGAAUCGCGAUGUAGCUAUCGGCAACUUCUGAAGGUAGAUCGUCGCCGGGAUCAUCUCCAAUCUGGGCCUCCCCUCUCUUUUAUUGAAAAUGGGAAGUAAGAAAUCGCCUAGUGCUGGAUCGAACCUUUAGAGUCAGCUGGUCCGAAGGCUAGGCGCAAAGUUCGGUUAAUUACGGAAAGUCCUCCGGACUACUUCGGUUAAUUACGGAUAGUCCUCCUUCCUUCCAUAUGGAUGGUCCUACUUCGGUUAAUUACGGAUGGUCCUACGGAUAAAUCCUCCGGACUACUUCCUUCCAUAUGGAUGGUCCUACGGAUAAAUCACCUGGACCUUUCUUUGGCCCUGCGGACGUAGGACUCCGGACUACUUCGGUUAAUUACGGAUGGUCCUACUUCCAUAUGGAUAGUCCUACGGAUAAGAAUCCUCCGGACUCCGGACGUAGGAUAAAUCCUGCGGACUGCUUCUAAUGGAUAGUCCUACUUCGGUUAAUUACGGAUGGUCCUACGGAUAAAUCCUCCGGACUCCGGAUAAGAAUCCUGCGGACUCCGGACCCUGGACCUUUCUUUGGCACGUAGGACCCUGGACCUUUCUUUGAUGGACAGGUGACGGGGAAUUGGAGGCGCAAUGAAAUAUGCGUGGAGUGCAAGUCAUUCAUUCUAUUAAAGACUUCUGCAGACGUUAGGCUCCAUAAGACAGGUCCGAAGGACUAUCCAUAUUAACCCAGAGUCAUGAUCCCUUUCAUGCAGCCGCUUAAAAAAGCGCUUUUGGGUCAAAGAUUCUUAAUCAAUUGAUUAGACCACUUUUCUGGAGGGACCCUCCCUUAUCAAAAUUGAAUAUAGUCUCAGAUACUCAUCUAGAGCUUUCUUUUUGCUUUAAAUUCAGAGUCGGAGGCCUCACUUUUCUAAGAUCGAUAUUACCAGGUCUCUCUUCGAAUCAUUUUGAUGACCACUGAUAGAUGGUCUCAUUAUUUUCGUGGAAGAUGUACCGUGUGUAUUUUGCCCACCCCUUGGGAGCACCGAUGUCCGUACGCUUUACUUUAAUGCACAGUAUAAUUCAUUCCAAUGAUGUCGGACAAGAAAAGAAGGCAAAGAAAUCUUCUUGGCAUAGAGAGUUUUAUCACCGCUCUGUGCCAUGAGCUUCGCACACCACGGCGGAGUUGGGAUAGACUUCCAUCUUGGGACAAAGUAAAUUCCUUGUUCCAGAGUGAGGAUGCCCCACGUAGCGGUACAUACCGCUCUAUCAAGCGUGCGAAUCAUUGCUUUUAACCAAAGAAUGAGACACAAAGGCACGGAUUCUUUCUUAGAUAGAGGGUCGGACGAGACUGUCGAAGGUGUCCUUGCUCACAGCGUAAGCUGACUGAAAACCGAGAACAAAGACAGAGGGAUCACGGCCGGAUCCUUCACUCUAAUCCCUUUCCGAUUCAAACUUGGCUAAAAUCAAGGUGCAAAGAUCUAUGGCCCACUACGCGGGAUAUUGUAAGACUCGUCCUACGCAGGAAAAGUGGAUUUUCUAGACAGGUCCGAAGGCUAGGUUAAUAUGGAUAGUCCGGAGGACUCUUAGCUUGAUUUUUCUUGCUGCUUUAUAUAAAGAAAAGUGCAAAAUGACUACUAAUCAAAGAUGUGAAAAUCAACCCCUAAUUUGCAGCAUUAUUACUUAAGAAGGGAGGACUCAAAAGUGACUAAACUGGCAUUCCAACUCCAACUUACUUAAAGGAAAUGGAAGAAAGAGAGAAAGUGGAAGGCAAUAUUCUUUGCGCCUCCGGACGGAUCAGAAUGCUCUUGCUCGACAAGAUCCUAAGCUAGGGAAUGAAGUUGAUAGACGCCCACGGAGCGGAAAAGGAAGAGGAAUUCACUCUUAGAAAGAGGAACCCCAUCGAUCGGGGCAGGGAAUAAGGAAGCCGCUCUUUGCUACCUUUAUUCGGAUAGGACGAGACCAAAGGAAGAGUCAUCUGUCUCGGAUCCAGAGUCAUAGGGGAAAGGCUCGACCUUGAAUUGCGGAAGAAGUUCAGUCCUUAUUAAGCUGGUCCUACGUAGAAAAAUAUGGGAUCAUGACUUAUAUUAUUGGAAUAAGACGAGAGGCAAUAUGGGCAAUAUUCUUUGCGCCUUCGGCUCAUCAAAAACAAGGUUGAAGAUGAGCUUUGAUUUUGAAAGUGGCCUUUUUUAUAUUAUAAGAGGACUAUCCAUAUUCACGACGGAGCAGCUUAAUAUGUGAGCGGUAUUCAGUCUUAGUAGAAGUGGAAAGAAGAAGGUCAUAUAUCUUGAAUGAGAAAAGAUUCCCCAUUCUCUCGUAUAUGAAGAACUCCCUAAAUGCUUGCCCAGGGCAAGGUGAAAAGAAUAUUGAGCCGGUGCGGUAUGAGAUCUUGAAUUCCAUGAUAAGGCAAAUGGCUGAGAACUCUAUUAACCUGAGAUGUCCCACUCUGAAAGAAAGGGAAAUUCGCUUUCCUCAAAUUGAAUUGAGCCUUCUAUAAAUCACUUUGCUCCUACUAUAUAGCUCCGGACGACUAUGAAGAAUAUUUGAAAAAGAAAGAUCUCCACUCGACUCUCUUCUCCUAGCCCGCGGAUACUUCAACUUCAACUUCUCAUUCCGAUACCAUAGCUCGAGCAGCGUUUCGGUAACCGCCGAGACUACUUCUGCUUUAUUAUAGAGAUCCGAUCGGAGACAGAUUCCUAUGAAAAUGAGUGAUAGCUUGCUUUGCUUUCUCUUGCCUUGUUCAUUGAUUUCUCUCGACUGACGAAUCUAGUCUCCCUGCUUUUAUAUUUGAGCACUUGCACUCGCAAUAUUCUUUGCGCCUCAUCAUAAAUACGAAAGAGAGAAUCUAAUCUCAUAAGAUAGAAAUAGUUUCGAAAGCUCCUCAACUCAUAUUACAUUGAGCCUUGUUCAUUGAUUCAAUCAAUAGUCGAAUAAACCAUAAAGAAACUGCUCAAGUGCGAAAGUAAUAAUCAGAUAUUCAAAAGACUAAUAAAUAGUGCUUUCUCUUAUUUAAGUCGUGCGAAAGAAAUAAUCAGAGAAGAUAGAGUGAAGCCGAGUCCUCUUCUUCUUGUCUUAAAUAAGUUGACUCAAGAGCUCCUCAUUUGUUCUCAAAUAAUGAGCUAAAGAUGAACCGAAAAUCUUCUUUGAGCCUUGUUCAUUGACUUUCUUCAUUGAUUCAUUCAACUCAUCUGGAGCCUUUCUUUUUGAAGGAGUCAGAAACCGAAACCGCAUCUUUGCAAAUUAGAAGGUGAAAAGAAUAUUGACUAGACUUCCAGGCGCAAAGAAUAUUGCGAGGAGUGCAACUGAUUAAUGGAACUUUCAAUGAAAUAGUGGGACUGAUUUUGAUCCAUAUGAAUGAGCAGAUUCAUUGAGGGAUUUCAGUGACCAAUUUUUCUUCUUUUCUUCCGGGCGAAGAAGCGAGACUCGCAGACGAGAGGGGACUGAAUUCAUUGUCCGUUCCUACAGCGGAAGGUUCCCCGCUAGAAAUCUUUUCUUUUCUUUCUGGUCUUCUAGCAAAUAUAGCAUAUUCACUCAUAUAACGAGAUUUUCAUCAAUCUCUAAAAUGAUCAAAGAUUCCCAAACUAACGUAAUCAAAAGUCAAGAAGACGUACUAAGUCACUCGCCCAAAAAGGCACAAAGUGGCUCGAGGCCCACGUAGCGGUUAGAAUAAGGAAAGAGAGUUGUAGAAGUUGAGGAGAGGGGUGGAAGCCGCUCGACUGUAAGGAGAGGGGUGGAAGCCGCUCGACUGUAAGGAGAGGGGUGGAGAAAUCCAUGCCUUUGCCUAAGUUCUGACCUUAUUAAGGUGCGCUUCUUUCGUUAUGAUUCAUAAAUGAUCCCUUCCCACUGCCCAUUGAUGGAGAUCUUUGGUCCCAUCAGAUUGAGUCUUUUCAGGAUCAGUUCUUUGGUGAAGCAUGAAGAGCUAAGCCAUCAGAUCAUCAGCCUUUUGUUGGGAUCCCUUCGUUCUCCUACCAUAGUUUUCCCGGGUAUGAGGCUUAGGCAAAGAGAAAGAACUGCCCGCGCGGAUGACCUUUCUGCUCAACGACGACGGAUGAGGCUUCCUAUUUACCUUGCUGGUAAUAUCUGCUCGGCGCACUUCUCCUACGGGUAGAAGGAAUGUGCCUGGAACUCUCACCUCUUUUGAAAGGAGAUCAGACUCUUUUCUAACUUAACCUGUAACAGAAAGACGAAAGCGAGUCGGCUUCUUUGCCCUUUCCUCCCUACUGUAGCAAGCAGCCAAAGACCUUGAAUUGCUCGCUUCGCUUCCUCUUCCUUUGGUCGAGCAGCUUUCGCUUCCCCGUAGUAGGAGUCUUAUGUAGUGCCGUAGGUUGUAAUAGUCUUUGAAAAUCAUCCAAACCGUCGUCCUGACCCUUAUUUAUCCCGAAAUCUUCUUUGAGCCUCAAUCAUUGAUUGUAAUAGUCUUUGAAAAGAAAAGAAAGGCAUAUUUCAUUGCACCGCGGAGUGGGCUUACGCUUGAUUUUUGAUAAGGACAUAUUAACAGCUUCUCUUCUUUGGUUCAUUCCAUAAUUCUUCUGAUCUUCUUUUUCAUAGUAAAGUAAAUCAUCAAAACGUCUUUUCUUCUGAACUUAUAUAAAUGCGCUUGCCUUCUAACCUUGGUCUAGGUGCCUUACCUACGGUGCCUUCUCGUAGGUGCCUUGCCGCGUAGAAGGACUCGUCUUUUCUUCUGAACUUAUAUAAAGUCGCUUCCCUUCGCACUCAAAUUUCCGCAAUAUUCUUUCUCAAAUUCUUUGAGCCUCCUUCCUUCCAUAUGGAUGGUCCUACUUCGGUUAAUUACGGAUGGUCCUACUUCGGUUAAUUACGGAUGGUCCUACGGAUAAAUCCUCCGGACUACUUCUAAUGGAUAGUCCUACGGAUAAAUCCUGCGGACUGCGGACUCCGGACGUAGGAUAAAUCCUCCGGACUACUUCCCUCCAUAUGGAUGGUCCUACUUCCAUAUGGAUAGUCCUACGGAUAAGAAUCCUCCGGACUCCGGACGUAGGAUAAAUCCUGCUUCUAAUGGAUAGUCCUACGGAUAAAUCCUCCGGACCCUGGACCUUUCUUUGAUGGUCCUACGGAUAAAUCACCUGGACCUUUCUUUGGCACUCCGGACCUGUCUUAUGGCACCUCCUCCGAAAGGAAAUAAGGAAUAAGAGUAUCUACUCGGUAAAGCUUAAUACCUAAAUCCUAAGCCGACUCGUGAGAGCUGAACCUAGCCUUUCUCCUAUUGGUAUUCUCUUGUCUAGCCUACGCAAUAUUCUUUGCACCUUUCUUCUUCUUCAACUUCUCCUUCUUCCGAGCCAAGGAAGCGAUUCAUUCUCAUCGUGCCCGAGGCCCGGAUCUGAUUCCCUAGCCGAGAUGAGGCAUCUCUUCUCAAGUCAUACUUCUUCGAGAGUUCCGAUUUCAGUCUUUCAGACUGAAAUACCCUCCUCACUCAAUCUUCUGAGUUCUAGCGCUAGUUCACACCGAGUAAACUCCUUCAACUAGGUAAAGCACAGUCUAUAUCAGUCUCCUAUUCUAAUGCACUCCUUUCCCUUCCUUAUUCAUAGACUGUAUCCAGAAAAAAACUCUUUCUGAUGAAUCCUAUGCUAACUUCUUCUUCAAGUGAAAGGUAUGCGUGGAAGACUAAGGAGAAUUUCUGGAAGUCUUCCUUCCUCUUGGUGUGCUGAGACUCGGCCGGGAGCUGGAGACCCACUCCGCGGUUAGACAGCCACUGCUACUUCCGAUUCUCGAGCUAUUGCGCUUCCUCUUCCGAACUUCUUCUUAUCCUUCCCUUCGUGCGAGCUAGUUCUCUCCUGGGCGUCCGCUCAUAACCAAUUGAGAGCUCCUCUACCUAUCGACCGAUCGGGGUCGGGGCUCAUAGGGAAUAAAUGCGAGAGGGUACUCGGCUUUCUAUUAAGGAGUGGGUUAGUAGUGCUCUUUCGUAAAGUGGGUAGAAGGGCUAGGCCCGCAGGAUAAGCCGCUAAGAAAAGGACCAAUGUAGAUAGGAAGAAUGCUGAAGGAGAACGAGAACCCACUACGCGGUGAGGACUAGCCUCGCGAAGAGCUAGAACUAAGAGUCAGUAGAGGCAUCCGUCGGCCGAGGCUAGGCCCACACCCAGGAUCAGAAGAGAGAGAUGGCUAUCUUUCAGAAGAGGAGGUCAGCUCUUUCAAGCAAGGGAUAUGAUCAAUCGGCGGGAGCUAUAUAAAGCGAAAGGGUAUCGCUCCACCCAGGUGGGGAUUCCCCCUAAGAUCAGAAUGACUUCAGGAGCGUCGGCAGUCGCUCUUCUUCUUACUUAAAUAAAAGAAGGUGCCCCCUUUAGUGGAGAAUAAGAUGGCAGAUGAAUUAGACCUUUCCUUCUUAUUGAAAGAAAGAUUCACCGACGCAAUAUUCUUUGCACCUCAAAAUUUUGCGCAAUAUUCUAUAAGGAAGGCAAUAUCAAUUUCAGGCCCACGGAGCGGUGCAAAGAAUAUUGCGUCGAGGAGGCUCCAUAAGACAGGGAUAUUGUUGGAAGGCGCAAAGAAUAUAUAGAGAAAAAAAUAGAUCGAAGAAGAAGGAAAGCCAUCAAAAAAGUUCAGACGAGACCGAAGAGGGGAGGGGAGAAGUCCCAACAAGGUAGCCGUAGGGAAACCUGUGGCUGGAUUGAAUCCAUAGCGUCCAGCAAGAACAUCCAUAAAGGGGAGCGGAGCGGAUUAUGGCCGCUCGAUAGAGGUUUUAGUGGAAUGAAUGAGUUUCCGGAGCAGUUGGGAGUGCUUUGAAGAAGAUCAAGCCUAGUGGUCUAUGUUCCAUAAAUCAGUCCGACUAUCGAUAGACGAUGAAAACAUCUCGGAAGCCCACGGAGCGGUUCAAAUCCCAUUCUUUCUCCUGAAAUUUGCUAAUAACGUAAUUCAUGAAAGAGCGAUCCGCCUGAACAACUUACACCAUUUCUUGAGUGAGACCUAAAAUGGACGCGCAGAAAGAAAGGUGAAAAGAAUAUUGACCUUCCAUCCUAUCUAUUUCAAAGAAGAGCAUAGAAGUAGCUGAGAGGCAGGGUAGCCUCAUUGACUUCUUCUUUCUCUUCUUUUAUCCAAUUAGAAGAAAGAAAAGAAGGACUUGCGUAACCCCUGGCUCAAACCCACCCGUUAGAGCAGCGAGCUGCUUACUCCUUUCAGUCGAAGGAUAGGUGCGAAGCAACGAAAGAUCAAAAUUGACAAAGAAGACAAGACUCAAAUUAAGAAUAAGAAAGAUCAGUCAGAAGAACCUACUAAAAUAUAAGAAGCCAGAGAAGAAAGACGCAUAAUGUCUAAGAGGGAGUGCAAGCAGUUUCAUGAUCUCUUCAUUCUCAUCUCUCUGAUUAGCUUGAGAAACCCCUGAAAGAUACUUCCCCCUCAAUGAUCUGAUCUUUCGCAGUUCUUCAUAUCUUAUUAUUUCUUUAGAGGAGCGAGAGAAGAGAAAUCUCAGCUAAUAGCAUGAAUAUCCUUCGCCCCUUAUCUCCUCAUCUUCCUAUUUAUAAGGCACAGCUUACUUCGACGUUUCCAAUUUCCCAUAGAAUCUCCGGGGCUUUCCUAGCAACUCUCGUUUUCUUUUUUUAUCUUCUUUGUCUGAAAAUGGGUUUGAUUUGCUUCACCUAUUCAAAUUUCUACGGAUUCUUCUUUUAUUCAGCAAAGCUCAUCCUAAUAUCCGUCGAGAUUACUGCCUUAGCCCUGUCCUAUCAUCUGUAUAAUGGGGUUCGUCAUUUAUUUCAUGAUUUUUCUUUCGUCACUACUUCAAAGAAAAAUAUCUUAUGAUUUCUAGCUCUCUUCUUUAAAGCUUAUGCCGUAGAAGAUCAGGCUAUUGGCCUUUUAUCUGCAUCUUCCUGACCAAGACCCAGAAAGAAGGUUAGAAUAUGCUCGACUGGUACUUGGCGGAGAGGUUAUCAUAGAAAGCUGCUUUACCGUCUUUACAAAAAGCCCACGGAGCUAGAAUCAGACUUCCAGUUUCAUGAGAAGAUCAGAAGAUCAAUGAAGAAGGUUCAAAGAAUUUGACUUUACUACUUAUAUCUAUCUUCUUCUAAUCAGAAGAAAGGAGAGAGAAGACGAAGGCAGAACCUACUAUUUGGAAUCAGACUCUGACGGAGAAGUCCCAUAAGAAGAGAUACAUCAAAAUCAAAUGAAAUUCGUAUUUUUUAGGUUUUCAGGCUAAGAAAAAGCCUAGUAGAAGGAACCUUCACCAAGGCAUCCUUAAUCUUGCAUCAAGCAUCAUGAAAAUUCUUUGAACCUCGUUCAUUGAUAGUAAUCCGCUCCGUUUUCCUUAUACGCCGUGGGCUUCAAACCUUGCCGUAGGCCGCCUCAAUGAACAAGGGGGCUUUCUUUAGUAGGUUUAGCCCUUGUUCAUUGACUUUCUCUUUCUUUCUGGGAGAAUCCCAUAAAUUCAUAUGGAUAUAAAUCAGUCCUUCGCCUCAAUUCACUUUGCGACUGAGGACGGAUAGGCUUUCCUGAUUUAGGCUUUCUUUAGUAGAAUAGCUCUCAUCAAUAUCCCUGUCUUAUGGCACCUCGCAAUAUUCUUUGCACCUCAACGUUCUCGCAAUAUUCUUUGCGCCUCCCCGUAGUUAGGAGUAUUAAGACCGGUCCUACGUCCGGAGGAUUUAUCCGUAGUCCGGAGUCCUACGUCCGCAGGAUUUAUCCGUAGGACUAUCCAUUAGAAGUAGUCCGGAGGAUUUAUCCGUAGGACUAUCCGUAAUUAACCGAAGUAGGACUCUAAAAAAAACGGAGGACCUGUCUUAUGGCGCCUUUCUUUUUGGAAAUUCAUGGAUAGGGCUUCAAACCUUGAACUGAAAACCUCUGUAGAUAUUAUGAUCCUCUAGAACCUACUAUUUCUCAUCAAGCCUAUCUUCCUUAUACCUUUUUAUUCCGUCCGCCUCAAUGAACAAGGGUCUUGUCUUCUUUUUCUUCUUCCGCUUUCUUCUCAAAUUCUUUCUACUACUCAUUGACUCCUUUCAGUCGAGCCCUCCGGCUUUCAAAGUGGACUCUACCCGCGGGGUCCUUCUCAAAUUCUUUGAUCCUCAGUCCUAUCCAUUAGAACGUUGAGGAGGAGGAGGUGCAAAGAGCGACGUCCGCUCCUUUCGCAAAUUCUUUGCGCCUCUUCCUCAAAUUCUUUGAGCCUUCGGACCAGCUGACUGAUUUAUCCAUAUAGAUCCAACGAUCCCCAUAUUCAUUUCGGAACCGCGUAGGAGGUUCAAAGAAUAUUGAAUGAAAGGAGAGGCGCAAUGAAAUAUGCCUUGAAUGAAUGAAUGAUCAAGAAAGCGGAAAAUUUGAGCAAUAUUCUUUUCUCAAAAACAAUAUCCCGCUACGUGGGCCACGAUCUUUGCGCCUCGCCUUUGUUUUUGGAGUUUUAAGACCGCUUAUUUCAGUUCCAUAAUACUCCUAAAAUCAAAGCUCUAGAUCCUAAUGGAUAGUCCGGAGGACGGAGGACGGGUCAAAGAUUCUUAAUCAAUUGAUUAGACAACAGGUCCGAAGGCUAGGCGCAAAGUUCGGUUAAUUACGGAAAGUCCGGAGGACUACUUCGGUUAAUUACGGAUGGUCCUACUUCCAUAUGGAUAGUCCUACUUCGGUUAAUUACGGAUGGUCCUACGGAUAAAUCCUCCGGACUCCGGAUAAGAAUCCUGCGGACUCCGGACCCUGGACCUUUCUUUGGCCCUGCGGACGUAGGACUCCGGACUACGGAUAAAUCCUGCGGACGUAGGACGUAGGACAGGUGACGGGGGAUUGAGAAAAGCAAAGAAUUUGCGAAAUAAGCGGUUCAAUUCCCACUACGCGGGAGGUUCAAAGAAUAUUGAACUUGAUUUUGUAGGUUUAGAAGUUGAAGUUCUCAAACUCAAUGAACUAUAAAGAAAGCACUGAUAAUGGAUAGUCCUCCGUUUUAGAGUCCUACGGAUAAAUCCUCCGGACUGGAUCUUGUAAGGAAGAAGGCUCAAAGAGAGUAUCCAACAACUAAAUUCCAUAAAGAAAAAGCAGGAACAUGAAAGAGAAGUCCUAGUGAAGUUUGAGUGGAUAAAAUCAGUUCUCAAAUUUCAUUGAUCCUUCGCUCAAUGCCCACGGAGCGGGAGGCUAAAAUCAAGGCUUUUAGUGGAAGGCAACUCAUAUUACAUUGAGCCUGCAACUUCGGAUAUUGAUGGCGCAAAGAAUUUGCGAAAGAAGGCGCUUCUAAUGGAUAGUCCGGAGGACGGGGGAUUUGAGGCGCCAUAAGACAGGUCCGGAGGAUUUAUCCGUAGGACUCUAAAACGGAGGACCCAGAGAAAGAAUAUUGCGGAGAAGAAUAAGGUUCAAAGAAUAUUUCACUCAAUGAACAAGGCGCAAAGAAUAUUGCGUGAUCGAAGCGAAGGUUCAGCUUCAUUCCUAGGGCAUGUCCGGAGGCGCCAUAAGACAGGUCCGAAGGACUAUUAGGGAAUGAGAGGUUAAGCUUGAUAAAGUCCUCCGCCUAAUUCAAUGGAUAAAGAAGUCACCUGGCCCCUUGUUUUUAGUUCUUUGCGCCUUUCAGUUCUCUCAAAUUUCAUUGAUCCUCCGUAUUCCAAAAAAAAAGAAAGAAGAUUUCUACUCAAUUCAAUUUGCAAAAUCAAGCUCCUUCUCAAUCAGUCCUAUCCAUUUUUUCUGUAAGGAGAGGCGGAGGAGGCGCAAAGAAUAUUGCGUAAAGGCUCGACUAAGAAGGAGAGGAGCGCUCCGUCGUCGGUCGUCCAAAAUAUAUAUGUAGAAUCGUCAGAUGGACAUUCUUUCUUUUCUGGAACCUCCGCUAGGCGCAAAGAAUUUGCGAAAUAAGCGCGGAAGGCGCAAAGCAUAUUGCGUGAGAAAUCCCGUCCUCAGUCGCAGUCCGGAGGACCUGUGACGCCUCCGUCCUUCGCAAAUUCUUUGCGCCUAACUACGGGGUCAAAGAUUCUGAAUCAAUUUAUUAUACCAAAGCUAGGCCACAGGAACGCACUGAUUUUUGUACAAGCUUAAGGGCGAUCUAUUUUUCUUAGAAGCAGCUUUACCGAGUUGUAGAGGUUCAGGGGAAAGCUUUGUUUGGAAUUCGACCUCUCCUUAUACGCGGGGUCAUGGACUCCUUUUUCGUUUAGGAUCCCCUUUCGACAUUCAAUUCUUUCUUUUUCUUGGUGUGGAAUCACAAUCAUUACACAUUCAUUCUUGGUCUGGCUGCUGGUCUAGCGAUCCCUCCUCUCCUAGGCGCCCUCUCCGCCUGAAAUUCAUUUUUAGGUAUAGGAGUCUCGCCGCUUCGCACGUCGUCAGUGCAGCCUGCCUGUUGAAGACCGUAACGUAAGUAACUCAGUGCUCUAUAUAGAUAUAUACGGGGGAAAUGAAAGCAGAAUUUGUUCGGAUCCUCCCACAUCCCACAUCCCCCAUACAUGUUCAAUCUUUUUUUAGCGGUUUCCCCAGAGAUCUUUCUCAUUAAUGCAACUUUCAUUUUGCUCAUUCAUGGAGUUGUAUUUAGUACCUCUAAGAAAUAUUCUUAUCCACCGUUAGUCAGUAAUGUGGGUUGGCUUGGAUUACUUAGUGUUGCGCGCCUAGGAGGGCAGCGCGCUUUGGGAUGCGGAGGAGCUAUUAUCGCCCAACUCCCUAACCUAAUGCGGGACCGGGUUCGGGCCGCAGGGAACCGUAGCAUGGGGGGACGUCUAAUCCUUUUGCCGCCGCAAGGCUGGCUAAUCGUACGCAGCAGGCUCGAAGACCCCUGGUUCUGGAAGGCACAUGAGUCCGAACGCUAUGUUGAAUGUGCGACCGACACUACACUACGUAGGUACCUGUGCAGGUGAGGCGUCGGUCGGUCCUAGAAACGGCGGCAGCGGAGGAGUUCACGACCGGACGUGCUGCAACCUAGGGAUCACCAGGCAGCUCUUUCGCUCUUAAGGGAUCGGGGGGGCAUAGCACAAUUCUGAUUGGAGGAGGGUUGCUUUGCCCGGGUGACUGAUCCUGCCAUAAUAUAAUGUACUCCUACCUAUAGCACCGGCAACCGAAGUCGAGCAUACAUACGACGAUCUUCAUGCGUGAAUAGCCGGGAGGAAAGAAAGGGCGGUAGAUGAUAAUGAAAAAAGGGCUCAGCGUCUGGACGGGCGGAAUGGAUGAGCGAAAGGUGCCAUGCCAUGGAGUGAGGAAUAUCCCGAGUCUCAUCUAAGACAUCAAAAUGAACCUCGAGGUGCUGCCGAGGAACUGGGGGACCUUCUCGAGCACAGGAUAGGCAAUUGAGAUCUCGAGCUAGCCUCUUCGUUAUGGGGAAUCAAUGCUCCGGGCCGAAUAGAGCUUACCUCCGGCACCUGGCUUUCUCCGCUCCGUGGGCAUAUUAGCUUAGCUGCGCUUAAUAGGCCGGUUUGCCUUCCAUUCAGACUCCCAGAAAGUUCAAGCCUAGCUCCGUGGGCCACGCUACACUCCCACUCCAAGCUAGGCCUGCUGAGCAAGAUGCAUUGCUCUUUCCUCUUCUGUGGACGCACCUCACAUAUUCCCAAAGGGAAGAGACAGACUUUUUUCGGAGGCGGGCUUUCUCUCUACAAGCCAAAGAGGCCCCAAGACAAGGUAGAAUUGUUGGGAAGGGGACAUGAGAAAUAGAACCUGGCUGGAUUCGGGCUGGUCUCGUGGCCCCAUUCCUAACCAGUUCCGAAAAGGUUCGCUCAUGCUGGAGGGAGCAUCCCCAGAUCGGUCCGCUAGUUCACGCAAAUCCGAAGAAGUUAUCACGGACGAGCCACAUGCAGGGAAACUUGCACGUGUGGUUCUGGCCGUCAAUAUUCUUUUCACCUUCUUCAUUGAGGCGGUAUCUAAUAACCUUGCUUCUGCUCGCCGCUGGCGCACCUCUCCUAACUAUUGGCCAUUUAUUCUGGAAUCAUUUUUUUAGGAGGGACAAUUUUACAUAUUUCUGCCAAAUACUUCUAUUAUUAAGUACGGCUGGUACCAUUUCGAUGUGUUUCGAUUCUUUCUUUAAAGAGAGGUUUGAUGCUUUUGAAUUCAUUGUAUUAAUUCCACUUCCUACUCGCAGUAUGCUCUUUAUGAUCUCGGCUCAUGAUUCAAUUUCCAUGUAUUUAGCUAUUGAGCCUCAAAGUUUAUGUUUUUAUGUGAUGGCAGCAUCAAAAAGAAAGUCAGAAUUUUCCACGGAAGCCGGCUCGAAAUAUUUGAUCUUAGGUGCAUUUUCCUCUGGAAUCUUACUGUUUGGGUACGACCGGACAACUACCGAUAUCUAAAAAUCUCCUUUCUGAGAAAUUAGUAAAAUGGAAGAAAUUCCAAGCCUAUCCUCCGGACUCCCAUAAAGAUUGAGUUCCAUAAAUCAGUCCGACGCACAUAAGUUUGAGUGGAAUCUUUUCGGAAUUCUUUCAUGAGACAAGAAAAGGAGUUCAUACACUGAUUUUCGCCGUUUUUAGGUUUGGAAGAAAGCCUAGGCAAGGCUCUUUGAAUGAUCUCGGACUAUUUUCUCAUUCAUUGAUCUAUUUUGAUGCCUCCAGAAAGCCUAUCUUUCAGUUCCAUAUAAAGAAGUCCGCGGAAGUUUAGUUUCCUUCUAAUGGAUAGUCAUCUGGACCUUUGUUCUUUGACCGCCUUGAUUUUAGCCUCUGGACCUCUUCACAGGCUCAAAGAAUUCUCUCAGGACUUCUAAAUUCAUAUGGGGAUCUGGACGGAUGAAAGUAGGGAAAUCCAAGUAUAUAUAUACAACGUCAGACCCUCUAUGUAGUUGUCGAGAUAGGGCGAUCGAUCUACAUCUUUGUCCAUAGCCCAGGUGUCUCGAUCUCCUACGUGCGAAAUCGGAGGGACUAGUUCCUAUGGAGAUUCCCCUUGGUCUAAUUCCACGCCUUAUGACGAAAGGGGAGUCGGCGUGGCGUAAAGUUCAGAUUGAGGGAAGUAGAGCUAAAUUCCCCUUAGGGGUAUUCCGAAGGUGUAACCUAGGCAACGAAAAAGGGGCCCGAUACUGAAAGACGAGUCGCAGAGCGAAGGAACUCGACCCUUUUGAGAGUUGUAGAGAAAGAGGAAGAAAGAGAAAGAGAAAAAAAGACUUGAUCUUUCAUGAUCUCUGAAUUCGAUCUUUCAUUCUCUCUUUACAGGAGCAAAGCAAGUCAACUGUCAAGGAGAAGAGCGACCGGUUCACCAAACCCCGACCCAGCGUCCCACGUUCUCCAGGUCCGAAGGGAUCCAGUGCCCAACUACCGACUCCUCCCGGAAUUGCAUUAUCGGAGCCGAGCCAGGAAUGGCCGUUAGUGGACACCCACCACUUUUCACCGGUUAGAGAGGCCCUCUUUAAUACAUGAAAAAAAGAUGUUCACAGGGGCCAGAAAGACUCGGUCAUAGGAACUUAGACCACCUACGCGCUGGUAAAGGAAAAGCACCUCGACCGGAUCAGAGUAAACAAGAAUGUCGAUCAGGCCCCUUGCCUUGAAAGAAUUCACACGCGGCCACCAGCUUUCCCAAAAUCAGGGGAGAUCCGCUGCUUACUGUUCACGGAAACAUCCGACCUAUACGAGAGUCAAGUCGUCCAUAUGAACCUACUUUUGGGGCUUAAAGGAAUCUAAAAGGAAGAAAAGAAAGCCUAGAAAAAACUAGAAAGGAAGAUAGGCUUUUCAAUCUUCUUUGAACCUACUAGUUCAAGAUUCAAUCAGAGCAGGACUAUCCACUGAAAGUAGAAAAAGAUCAGAAUAUCUACAGAGGUUUCAGAAGAGGAAGGUGAAAGUGAAAGAAGAAGAAAGCCCACCUUCCAUCUAAUAGUCCUCCGGACCACUCCGCGGUCCCAUAAGACAGGUCCGAAGGACUAUCCAUUAGGGGAGCUGAGGAAGGAGCAGCUGGACACUCUAUUUCUGAAUUGAGUGGAAUCUUUUCGGAAUUCUUUUUUCAUGAGACAAGAAAAUUUUGAGGUUUGGAAGAAAAUCAAUGAACAUCCAUAAAUCAAGGGAGCCAAGUUCGAACUAAGAGGAGAUCCAAAUCCAGAAAGGAAGCAUCAAAAUGAAAUUCUUCUAACUUAGUGCUUGAAUAUUUUCAUCAGUUCCAUAAAUCAGUCCCAAGAACAUGAAAGUGGAAUUCUCAGAAGUCCAAAAAGAAAGAAAGCACUACGCGGAAGUGGAAGAGAAAUAAAGAGAAAGCCUAGGUCAUAAUCAACGGAAGACUACAGGAUCGGGAAGGGUUGGAAGUAGCUCGACUCUGAUUCCGUAAUUUCAUAACUAAUGAGUAAGAUCUUGAAGGAGAAGUGAUUAUUCUCUUCCAUUAUCAAAGGGCAUUUUUUUCCAACAAGAGGCGCAAAGAAUAUUGCGGAAAGCAAGCAGAAAGCGGUAGGGGCCUCAGUCUUCCUUAGUAGGGGGGUCGGACGAAGAAUGAAUAAGUCUUCUUUCCGUGAGUUGGACUAUUAGUUUGCAAGAGAGAGACUUAGACUUCGCAUGAGUCACUUCAUUCCCAAUCGGGGGAGUGAAAGAGUCAUCCGUCUCAGUUUAUGUUGAAGAGGAAGACUUGGGGGUAGGGUAGACUGGAAAGAAGAGAUCAAAAUAGGGUUCUCGGUACGACUUAUUCUACUUCAUAGGUAACUGAAAGCAAGAAGAGGAAGCUCCCCCUGAUUGAGUAGCUCUCCUCUUUUUUCUGAGUCUGAGUUCCGGAUCUCAACUGAAAGAGGCGCAAAGCAUAUUGCGUGAGAAGCGAAGUGAGUCCGUUCUUCCAUUUCUUUUCUAAGUUCGUAUGAGAAGGAUAGGUUGCUGGUCCACCGUAGCUUAAUAUGGGAAGAAAGGCUAUCACAUGAAAUAGGAGGCUCAAAGGUAGAAAACUCCUCCUUCUACGCGGCCGAGUUUCAUUCAAGAAUCGGAAUGAGAGUAGGACUAGCGCGCGAACUCGCGAACUCUCUACAUGGAUACUCUUACGUGAAAGCCACUACGCGGUAUUAUUUUCUAGAAUAAGAGUGAGCAUUAGAAGGAUCGGCUGAAAGGUUCGACUCUGAAAGGGGAAGGAGAGGCGCGAAGCGAAGCGACGGGAAAGGUUAGACGCCGCUCCGCUGAUUAUAGGAAACAAAGAAAGCCACGGACUAAGUAGGUUUCAUAUUCAAUGAAAUAGAAGAAGCAUACGAGGAUCGCAGAAAAAAGGGUUCUAGGAAAGCUGCUCGCCCGACACUCAGAUAGAGGUUGAGUAUUCCCCUUGCUCUUGUCCCUGUCUUUCUCUUUGAUGAGAUAAGUUACGCGUAGUCUAGAGCUCGUUGGUAUUCUUUCAUUCCUUCCCCUCUCAAGAAAGCCUUUAUACUCGCAUGAUGGAGACCUUGCACGAGAUCUCCUUUGGUCCUUCUACACCGCCUCAAUGAAAAAUCAAGCUCCAGAUGAGUUGACGUAUUCUAACCUUGUACAUUUGCACAUCUGAAGUAGGGGCAUGAAAAGGAGAAAGAGCCGCUUAGUUGGAGUUGACUCGGUAACCUCAUCGGCAAGGUAACUCAAAGCAGAAAGGGACAAGUUCGUCAGUCAGAUCACUCAGAAGCAAGGGCGCGGAUCGAUGCAGCUUUCCAUAAAUAAGAGAGACGGACUUAUCUGGUAUUUCAUUCUUAGACCAAGAGUCAUCUUUCCGAAGAGUCCUCAUCUCUUGCCGAAGCCUCAGUCGGGUCCGGAGCUUCUUUCCCUUUUUUAGUCGGUACGAAGCUCCUUAAUUAAGAUAAGAGAUCGGCCGACUAAGAACUAAGAAUCUGUUGCCGAUCUUCUUGAAUGAGUUCCAUCCAGAGUCAGCUCGAAGUUCGUAUUCUAAGUUGCGGAAGUACUAUGAGAAAGUCUGAUCUCUUACCGAAGCGAGAGGGUAGAACGACUGUAAAGCAGCUCGUAAAGCUUAGAAUAUGCGAGACCAUAGGGAGAGGGGGCGGGGAGAAGGGAAGAAUUGGGAAAGAUGAACCGAAAAUCUGAGCAAUAUUCUUUGCGCCUACGCUAUAUACUCCGAAGGACGUCCUCUGGACUAUGAAACCUAUUUCUUUGACGGAUCCAAAUCCAAUAAGGCCAAUUAUCCAUUCAAUCUAAUAUCAUAUUUCUUUCAUGCUCGAGUACUCAGUGAAUGAGUCCGUAUAUCAAGUAUCUUCCUCCUUUCCGUAAGGAAAAAUGCAAUUCUAUUCCCCCUAAGACCCAAUGAGUAGACAGAGGAUUAGUAGUGGCUAUCAUCUCAAGAUUUCAGGAGUUUAGACGAGCGAGAUCGGGCAGAAUGAGGGAGGGCAUACGCACUUAGCUCACAGAUCUAGACUUCUCCCAUGUUCUAGCUUUCCCUUGCCUCCCCUAAUAGUCAUCAUCACUGCUUGACUUGACGUCUGUAUCUGACUCCACACUCUCACUUUCUCGCAAUAUUCUUUGCGCCUACGCCUCGUCCGGAGUGCCAAAGAAAGGUCCAGGGUCCGGAGUCCGCAGUCCGCAGGAUUUAUCCGGAGGACCAUCAAAGAAAGGUCCAGGUGAUUUAUCCGUAGGACCAUCCGUAAUUAACCGAAGUAGUCCGGAGUCCGGAGGAUUCUUAUCCGUAGGACUAUCCAUAUGGAAGUAGGACCAUCCGUAAUUAACCGAAGCAGUCCGCAGUCCGGAGUCCGCAGGGCCAAAGAAAGGUCCAGGUGAUUUAUCCGUAGGACCAUCCGUAAUUAACCGAAGUAGGACCAUCCGUAAUUAACCGAAGUAGGACUAUCCAUAUUCAGGAGCGGAAUCAAGAAUAGACCUCUCUUUCUCCGGACCAUAAACUCAAACUAGAAGUUUGAACAUUGAAUUUCUUUUAUAGGCUUGAUUCUUUCAUUGCGUUUUCCCGGCUUUUUUGCUUCUUUUUCAUAGUAAAUCAAAGAUUUCUAUUUAACGAAAAUUGUCUAAAAAUGACAGAUUUUUCAUGAUUUCUUGCUACUUUAUAGGCCCAAAACCUAGCAUUUCCCUCCGCGGAUUCAUCUGAAAUCUAGCACAAAGAUGUCUGAAAUCUAGCAGAUUCAUAAUUCUUCUUUCAUUCCCAUUUUGAGCUUCUUUCAUUAUCGUUAAUGAAGAAUCCACAAAUGUCUAAUCUUUCUCAUCCCCUAAUGGAUAGUCCUUCGGACCUGUCUUAUGGGGCCUCCGUAGCUUAAUAUGGGGAAUAUUGCCUUCCACUGAAAAUUUAGGCGAAGGACUAUCCAUAUUAACUGUGCUUUCGGGGUGUAGCCGAUCCGAUUUGGUCGCACAAUCAGUGCCUUCUCUCAUAUUUCAUUGACCCUCUUGACGGUAAACCGGAGAUGCUUUACCCUUUCCCUCUGUCUCGUAUAAUACACGCCCUACGCAGUCGUGCCACUCGCACGUCCGAGGUAAUCUCGGAGUUCUGACAUAAAUAUGACGCCCCCUUGCAUGUCCGAGAAGGGUGUAGGAAGGUGGUUAUCGCCAUGCGUGCAGUGCGGACCCACCUUGGGAUCUUUGAUACCUUCUCGGGAUGCAUUAAUCGGAUUGGUCUUCGGCCUCUUUGUUCGUAGUUUGUGUAUCGUCCAAUAAAAAGGUCAGCCGGAUGUUCACUGACUACCAACGAUAAUCGCAAAUCGAGAAAAGAAAGGCCGAUAGGCACACAAAUAUAGUAGUAGGAUUAUCCCCUCCUGCUCCGUGGUUUUUUUUUGGUUUUCUGUUAGAAAUACGCGUAUUUAGUGCAUACGAGGCUCAAAUAAGGUGAGGACCAAAGAUGGGUCUUUCUAUUCCGAGAAAAAUGGAAAUGAGAAAUGAGCAUGUAUUUGAAAAUGCGAAAUCCUCUUCCGAUUAGUCUGUCUCCCUCUAGGGGUUAGGGGGGAAAGGGAGUCUUAAGCACGGCUCGGAGAUUUCCCUUUAAGGCAAUUACAUCAACCAGAGGUUAAUCCGGUACACCAAUGUGGUUAGCUAGCCUCAUCCCAUUUCAAGCUCAUCCGAUGGUACCUUUGAUCCGCUAGCUCCCGGGGGAGAUUCUAUAGAUUGAAUAGGUGGCCCUUGUAUCAGCUAUGUGUAUCAGCUGUCGGUUUUUGGACCCCUAGGCUUUCUCUUUCCGCUUUAUUUAGAUCUCAAUCUCCUUCUCUUUCAGUUGCGGUUUCACAACCCCUCGGAUAUUCUUCCUCUGGUCCUUAGUUCCCCCUCUGGACCCUUGCUUUUACUCCUUUGAAUGAGAAAAUACUGGAAAAAUGCCCAAAAGGUCUAUGGUUCAAGCAAGUGCGAUGAGGGGUUUUGUCUUCUUUGAAUCUCAUUUCCCAGGGAGAUGAAACCCACUACGCUGUUUUGGGCUAGGCUAAAUGGAAUCUGUCCUUUCCUCUUUCAGUCGCCGUAGAUUCCUCAGUCUCACUUCCAAAUACCUCUCCUUCCUGGGGCACCCGUCCUUCUUCUUUCAGUUCCACUUUUAUUCCUUCUACCCUCUUCGGCUCGAGCUGCUUCGUUCGCUCUCUCUCUUUCUGUCUCGUUCUCGCAAUAUUCUUUGCGCCUUUCUUUUUUUUUUUUCUUUUUUUCAUUAAUUUCAUAAUAUGACUGAAUUCAAGAACCAUUCUUUUCAUUCUCCCCUUUUUCUGGAUUCAAACAAGAGGAAUUAGAAGGAGAGACCUACGGCAAGGAAAGCGUAGUAGGAGUCCGAAAAUCAAUGAACUUUGCGACUACAAAAAGCUCCAGAUGAGUUGAAUGAAAGGAGAGGAGAAGGAUGUAGCCUUUACCUUUAGGCCCAGAAUCACGAGACUGACUAAGCGAAAGAGGAAGAUCACGGGAAAAAGAAGAAGAGCUCGAGCCGGAUGGAAGAGGGGCGAAUAGACCGAUAAGGAUCUCCUCCUUUUUCUAUGUAUGGGGGGCAAGUUUACGAAGAGUCCGCUCGACCUGUCUGUCGAUUGACCCAUUUCCGUGGGUUCAGGAGAAAGGUAACUGAAAGAGACUGAGUCAGCGAGACCAUAAAGAGAGUAGACAGACGAGGUUAGAGAUCUUGAAGUUUAAGCAUUUCUCGUUUAAGAAGUGGUUGCAGGAGAGUUUAGGAAGUGGGUUCCUAGCCAUUGAGCCACUAGUCCGUCCCGAUCCUCCGAUCUCAUCCCCAGGGCGAGAAACUGAGUCCUGUCUCGUGUCGACUUUCCUCUUUUCUUAGUAAAUUAGUAGUUUGGAAUGGUGCGAGAUUCCAUCUUUUCUCAUGAGAGAGAUAUAACGUGGAACUACGGACUGGUUCAACCACAAAAGAAAGGGAGUCCUAAUAAUCCACGGGCCGAGCCUCUCAUCUCCAGUGCGCCUACCUAGCCCCGAUCGAUGGGGAUGGGCCUAAAGCGUCUAUAAAGAAAAUGACUCAACCACCAGGUACGGGUGUCUGACCUUUAGCUUGUGCGCGGAUGAGUAAGGUUCAGAAAGAAAGGCCAGUGAGAACCAAACCCACUAGGGAAAGACUACUACAUUAAGAGAGAGUUCGCGCUUCACUCAUACUGGCUGGAAGUCGAGCCCUUGAUCCUGGGCGAUUCCCCUUUCUUUAUCUUCGGAUAUGCCAAUGUGGAUAAGUCUCGUCCGUCUUGCUGGUCUCGCUUUCCUUCCUUGGCUUGCUUUUAUGAGCACCGGCAUAAGAGGGUCUGGGUAAGAAGACCAAUUCUCAUCCGCCGGUGAGCCCUAUCCAUUAAUUUGGCGGUUCUCGACCGCGGAGUGGGCUUGUAGCAUCCCUUUCUGUGGCUGUGGUUCUUUCCCUUCUUGCUCUUCUUGCGCUUCUUCGAUCGGUACUAGUGAUGCAUUUCUUUGUCUUUUAGAUGUCCCAACUCAUUUCAUUUAUUUACAAGGAAGAAGACUGAGGGAGGCAAAUCAAAGGAAUCCUCCUUCUGCAACCCGGAGGCAAAAAUAUCCAUCAGACGAGACUCAAAUUCUUUGACCCCUACAAUACCCCCUUUCUUAUGGAGCCUCAGUCCUCAGAAAAUCUAGACCUUUGUUUUUGCGGAAGAAAAACAAGGGUAAUUCUUACACUCGGACCUGUGGAAUCUUUUCUACAUCUACAUUGUUAAAAGAAAGCUAAGACAAAGACAAAGUACUAUUAUCCUCAAAUUCAAAGAGCCUUGCCUAGGCUUUCUUUCAGUAUUUUUGAGUAGUCUAGCUUCGGAAACUGAGACUUCCUAUUUCUUUCUCGCUGAUAACCGAUCCGGAGAGCAUAUUAUCUACUAUUCAGUUACGCGUCUGUUCCGAGAUCCCUCUAGUACUUCUUCCCUAGCUGAUGCUCGGCGCACUUCUCCUAUUCUUGUUUUCCUCGAAUUUGCAAAUGGAGGCUCGACUGAAAGGAGAGGAGGCGGUUCAAACUUGUGAACCUACUUAAAGGAAAGAUCGGUAGCAUAAGAAGAAGUUGCGCUUUCUUGAUUCUUAGUGGAUCUGGAUAGGUCCCAUAAAUCAGAAAAGAAAGAAUCUCAUCUUGACCUUUCUUUUUGCUAAAGUAGGUUGAGGAGAAGGAGGAUAGGCGAACCUGACUGAACUUUCUGAAACUUCCCCGGAGUCUGACUCUCUUCUGUAGUAGAGUGAAUCCCGUCCUUCGGACGGUCUUCUUUUUCUUCCUUGAACUGCUUUCUCAAAUUCUUUGAGCCUCUUAUGACUUUCUUUCUUUAGAUAUUCUGAUACUAUAACCUCAAAUACGGAAAGCCUACCGUCCGAACGUAGAAGGUAAAGGAGGGAGCGGACUACGGCAAAGAAGCGGAGCGGGGAAGUGAAAGGUUUUCAUAGAAAGGAAUAAAAAGUCAAUGGAAGUCCUGGAGCCUCCUACCCUUGUUCAUUGAGGCCUUCUCCGCCUCCGGCUUUCUUCUUCUCCUACUACUGAUUUUUCAAUUUCUUUUCUUGUUCUUAUUAAUGUAAUUCAUUCAUUCAAAGAAUGGCGGCUAAGACUGCUUGGGCUAAGAAUAAGAGGAGCUUUUGGAAGGGGAUUCUUCCUAUUUCCUUUCAAAAGGAUGGCUAAGCUUUCGCCGAUGAAUCGCUAAAGGAUACCAGGAUUAGAACGCAUUCUUUCGGAAUUUCAUGGAAUUUGAUUGAAGAUUUUCAAACUAAACUAGUAAGAUAACUUUGGACAAUCUUUAGGCGUUCUGAACCAGCCAAGAAGUGAAGUUUAUUUAAUGAUUCAAACUACUAAUUACACUAAAAAAGAUUUAGGAAGGUUAAGAAGGUUCAUUCUUAUCAUAUCACUCUGUCCCAGAAAAAGAAAGGAGAUUAAACGGGAGGAAAUGGCAAGUAGGUUAGAGGCUUAGAUAUUAUGUCCGUUGCACUGCCAUAGUUGUUGCAGAGGAAAAGCACGAAGAUGAGGAACUCCAUCAUCACAUAGCCCUACUAAAUGAGAGCGCAUCCCGACACAAUGCAAGACGGAUGAUUAGGGAAAAGCCUUCCCAGAAUGGGAGGGAAGGCAAUGCUAUGUCAGCUUCCAUAAGGCUUGGGGCAGCCUCUCUGUCUAUCUUAGAAAGCAAGACAAGAAGCCCUACGUAUGGGGAAGGUUCUCGCUGAAGGAGAUACUAAUCUCAGCCGAAGCUCUUUCAAAGCAUAGAAUAGAAGGGGGCCCCUCGUUCACAAGCACGAGCGGACCCAGAAGAUUUUACGAAAGAUAGAUAGUUACGAUAACUUCCUUCAUCUAAGGAGAGAUCCCGAGCUCGCGGAUCUCCUCUUGUCCAAAUACAGUACAAUGAUCAACCCUUGGGAAGAUUCGCAGCGCAUAAAGCUGCACAAGAUAUCCGCUAUGGAGCUAAUAGUAACCUAUCUCUUCGAGAGAGGGCGGCCCCAAGAAUAGACCGCCGAGGAAUUGCAAGAAAAGUGCCUAAUGCGUCAUUGGAUAGCCACCAAUGACGUCUUCCAGCGGCCCAUAAGGAGAAGACAGCUCUUUGUCUACGGCCCGCCAAGUACACAGAAAAUACUUCAGAUAAGUAUGUUAAAAAGGGGUGGCUUAAGGGUGGGCCAAAGGAAAAAUGACUAUUCUGGCGCGCAUGAUUACUUUGACCUAUGGGUUAUCGACGAGUUCAUGGAGGACAAGCCCCAGUCCCAAUUCGAAUCGGAACAGCGGGGAAGCUAUAUUCAUGCGGUACUCACCCUACUGGGCAGGAGUGCAGGCUAGAUGGAAAAUAUGAACGGACUUUUAUCAACGAACGUCCCGUUUAAUGGGAAACCGUAUUCCAUAUCUAGUUUCACCGUGGGAAAGACGCCCUGGGCAAAGCGCGUAAUGUCCUUACAGUUCAGUUCUACUUCAAAUAGAAGGAGCUCGACUGAGAGGAGAGGAGCAACCUUAUGCGCUUGCAUUUGCCGAAGGACCGACUAUGGUCGUCCCGUAUCCCCGCCUUAAAUACGAUUCUCUACUCUACGUAGAGUAGAAAUCACUCUAAGCCACCCUACCUACAGGAAAGAUCAUUUCCUUCCUCGAGAUUGAGGGGACGGAGGUGCAAAGAAUAUUGCGUGAGCAGCGGGAGAAAAAGCCUUAUCUAGACCGCUCCGUGGGGAUUUCUCAACUCCGUGAAAUGGAAAUGAAUGUACGGAAGUUUGCUAUAGUACCCCUUGCGGGUCAAAGAAUUAUCGAAAGCCCACCAAGAAAAGAAGACAGAGAAGGCUGCUUAUAAAAAGGGAGGAGGCCAGAGAAAGGACUAUGCAUUUUGGCCCCUCUUUUGAAAGAGAAAGGGGACGGGCAAGAUGCCCCCAUAAAAGUAGACCUUGACGAAAAGCCGGAGGGAGAAGAAGAGUGGAGGGACCUAUAUGAUAGGCUCCGGAAAGAAGAGAAAGAGCGGAGCUCCUCGGAGCGGAGGGAGAUAGAAGUCGAGAUUCUGAUUGGGCUACCGGAAGAGCACGGCCUGAGGAGCACGACGGUAGCUCAAGGAAGAGCAAGUUAGACCUGAAGGAGGCAUUCCGCUCCGUAGUCCACACCCCUACAUUCAAAUCAAACCCGGGAGCCGUAGCCCUCCUUCCUCGGCUACCGACCAUACAGAGAGAAGAGGGAAGAAAGGUUAGCUGUUCAGCUUCGUCAAUAUUCUUUGAACCUCUUGAUUCUCCUUAGAGUCCGCGUCAUUCUAAUGGAUAAAAAGAAGUCACCUGGACCUCUGAAAAGAUUUUAUCUGAAAGAUUUUUUUUGGGUGAUGAACAUUGUCCUUUGUGCUAGGAAAGGGCUAUCUCCGCGCCAAUAUAGGAUAUUCCGAAAGUGCAUAUAUACCGAUUCGACGAGCUUACUUUUUAGUGGUCUUUGAUCCCCCCUCCCAAACCGAUCGCUAUUGUUUUCUUGCUUUCUUCGUCAAUUGUGAGAGAAUGCCUUUCUAUCAGGUAUAGUUCGUAGGAUGAAGUGGGAUUCAGCCUUAGUGGAUAUAGCGUCUGUGCCGGGAAUGCGGCUCGGGCGUAGUAGGUCCGGACGCCUAAGCAUGAAGCAGCCUUCUCUGGUGGCGGCACUAUACCGGAUGUAUAGUAUCUCUGAGGCUUCGAGCAUCCAGACUAAUCAGUCUCAACCCAUUAGCGAGGGGGAUUAUUUGAAUUUGAUCAAGGAAGAGAAAAGAUGCGAUUAGACUUGAAUGAAUGAAAGAGAAGACGGAGCGAAGUGCUUCCGAGUUCAUUCUCGGAAAGAAAGAGUUCAAGCUUUCUCUUCUGAUCUUUCUUUUCUUCUCUGAAAUCAUAUAAAACCUGCUCUCAAGCUAAUAAAAAGCCGAGUGAAAGAAAGAGGGUAAGCAAGCAGCGGGAGCCACUUUAAUGAGUUUACGAGCCGAAGGCGCGAACCGAUGAAAGAGGGUAAGCAGCUCAAAUUCCUCUUUCUGGGGUUGGGUUGGGGUUGGGAAAUAGGUAGAUCCUAAAGUGGAGGGUUCUUUCUUUCAUGUGAAGCUUCAGCUUUUCUUUUGAAGAAGUCUCAGGAGAAUCAGUAGCCCUUGCCGUAGCCUUUCAUUUGAUCAAGUUGAAGGAAAGGAGCGAAGCCAGCAUAGCGAGAGGAGCGUCUAACUUGAAUGCAUGAAAGAGAAGAAAGAAGGUUUUUUCAGUACUGGAUAGUCUUGAGAAAGAAUUAAUACUGAUUCAUUCUUUCAAGUUUCAGGAGGGGAAGCGAGCCUAGAGUAGCAGCCUAUUACCUUUUUCAGGCCCCAUUCUAUUAGUAAAGGGCUAGCGCCCAGUCAGGCUGCUAUCAAUUCAACCAAAGAGAAAAAAAGCCCAGUGCCUUUUGUAUAGAUCGAGACUUCUAGCUUGAUUCUUUACUCAUUCCAUACUGAAGAAAUUCCAGGAAAUCAUUCGAUAAGACUGAUUCCGAUCUUUCCAUCUCAUCUAUCUUAUUCGGUCCAUCGGAGCUUGGAAGAUAGAGGAGAAAGAAUCUCUAUCUCUUAGAAGGACACCUUGGAGUUCUCUUUCGUCGAAGAAAACUUUUCUUUUCAUUCCAUCGGGCGGGUAGGAUUCCUCUUAGAAGGACUCCUUCGGUCCUCCCUAGCUUAAUUAGGGCUUCCUUCGGUCGCCUCGUAUAAAAGGUCUUACUGGGCCCUACCUAUUCACUCGUAUCGACUCGCUUGCAAAUAUAAGAGCUUGAAAGCAAAGUAAAGCAAGUCAACCGGCUCUCCUUCAACCUCGCCAUGCCCCAAGUCAAACCUCUCCAACUAGUUUUGACCUCAUGAAAGGAAAAAGAAUAUUAAGCCCUUAUUAAUAUUAAUGAACUUAAGGUUUUAGUAAUGAACUUAAGGUUUUAGUUUAGAAAGACUAUCAAAAACAAACAUAGACGAAAGACUCUGAAAAACAAAUGUAUGGCGCCUGCUCCGCUGUCUGAUUCUACGAAAAUGAAUGGAUUAUCUUAGCACAUCUUUCUCGAUGGAUAAUUGGGACCGAGGAAACUAUAUAAGUUUCACCGAUGAUGAGAUCCCACCGAGCAUAGAAAAGCUAUACAUAUUUCAGCAAGAUGUAAAGGGUGCACUAUUUCCCUUGGUAGACAAGGGAUUUGAAUCUCAUGCCAAAGUCAAGAUCAAAUGCUCAUCGAAAAUUCGCAUAUCAGACCAAGCCCUAUGAUUGUGCGAGCCUUUGAUGGAAGAGAAGUAAUAGGAAGAAGAAUUGAACUCCCAAUGGAAUGGAGUCCUGUGAGGUUUAGAUUUAAUGUGAUGAUGGAUAUCACUCGUAGACCUUGGAUUCAUUCUGCUGGGGCUCUCCUCUUUGCAAGCUUUAAUUCAUCAUUUCAGGUAUUCAUUUUUUCAUCUUCCUAGCCGACAAGUCCUCACUAGUAGAUCGUCUGAUCUUCAUCGGAAAAGAAUUCCUUCGCUUGCUUUCUCACUCUGGUUUACAUAAUAGAUAUGAAUGGAAGGUCUGACCCUAUCAACCAAGAAAGAAUGAAAUACCUCAUAUCCAAGCUUAGGAUAGGAAUGAAAGAAGGCUUGCCCUACUAUGACUUCCUCCUUCGUAUUUAUUGAUUGCAUACUCUCUUCUUCCUCGCAUACCGCCGUACUCUAAGUCUACCGAUUACCACCUGGCUCUCACUCUCCUCCAAGGUCGGUCGAAACUAUUCCUAUCGCUUACCCAUUUCCCAAGGACCGAGUGAGCAGCUUUCUUUUAGGAAAGGAAGUGGAGGAGGAGAAGGAAAGUCAAAGUCUGGCUGUGCGAGAGGCCAAUAUGACUAAUGACUAAGGCUAAGAACUGAUAUCAUCUAUUCGAUCAAUGUGGCCUGCCAAAGCGAAUAAUAGAUAAUCCUGCUAUCCUAGCCCCGGAAGGGAUUCUCUACCAUGGUAUAUUCCGAGACCAUCGAUUCCUUCAUCCUUAUAGGCAUUAUAUCCAAGUCCACUAUCAAGGUAUUUUGAAAGGUAUUCGUGAGAGGUUAAGAUUAAGGCUUUAUUAGCUCUUCGCUCUUUGCCAGACACUUACUAAACUGCUCCGCUGCAGGUUAUCAUAGUGAUACCUCAAUCUUUCGCCUGGCUUUGAGCCUUCCUUGAAUCUGGGACUGAACCCUGCUUACUUUCGCUUGUCUAUGGUAGUCCGAAUCCAAGUCUUCGGGAACUUUUCUCUUGGCCAGAACCGGGCAUUGCCCUUGACCAUCCCACCACUAGGAGACUGGGACUCGAGACGUGGUUUAGUAUUCCCUUCCGCUCUUUCAGUCAAUUUCUUUGUGAAGAAUAUCGGAAUAUCUUCGAUUUUCUAAGUUCAACUACAUCUAGAAAUCCAUUGGCUUCCAUCUCUCAAUGAAGGAGAGAAAAGCCUGGCCUCGAGCAGUCGGCUUGCCCUUUUUUUCUUUCCACUAAGCGGGCUCCCGUCUUAUACUCUAACUGGAUCCCAAUAGAUAGGUAAAGAAGACUGGACGUGCUUACCCUAUCCCCGAGAUAAAAGGGAAAGCUGCCUUGUUUAUUUUUGUAAAGGACCAGUAGGCUUGCUUCGCAUAGGCUACACAAGCGGGGUCCCGUGCUUUCCUUUUGUGGGAAUACCCGCCCGGAUAUCAAUGACUCAAGUAUGUUCCGGCCCGAAAUAAAGAGAGAGUUAGAGUGAAUUAGAGACAUAAUCUCACAGAUUCAAGAAAAGAGAGAGGAUUCUUUAAGUCAAGCAAUCGUAGAGACCGAGGUUCAAACAAUAUUGACAGUGGAAAUUCUCCCUCGUAAGGCCUGCAGAACCAAAGAGAAAAAUCUCUGUUUUAGUCUUCGAUUUCAUUCAUUCUGGGUUUUGAGACCUGAUAGCCCACUGCCUUUGCUUUCCUUAUUCAAUGGUAGAAAGUCAAGUCUUCCAUUAUUGGACUAAGAAAGACUUCCGCCUUUCAUUAGAGUAAGAGGUGCUUAGCCCUCUUUGCAAGAACUUGGGUUUAGUGGCUUAGCUCUUUCUCUUGCUAGCUAACCCGUCCUCCGUCCGUCGUCCUCUUUUCCAUACAUUUGUUUUGGAUAGUUUGAUAAAGAAUUAAUAGAGGCUGAAUGCAAUAUGAGUUGCCGAUACAUUUGUUUUGGAUAGUCUUUCGUCAUCAUUAAGAUAGGUACGGACUCUAAAACGUGGGCUUAUCAAAGUAUGAAAAAGAAAUGUAUGGGAUCCUCGUCCAUUCAAUCUUUCUAUUCAUAAUUUCUUUGAAAGCAGAAAAGUGAUGAAACAAGAAAACGAAAUAUAGUGAGGGAGGGCUCGCUCGCUAUAAGCCUUGGUCGAUGACGCUAUCUUUCUUACUUACCCCGAUCCAAUCGAAGAACGGAUCCACUAGCAUUCUCAGCUACAGGAAGGGCUUCUUCCACGGAAAGAUAUCUAGAAAGCGCACCCGAGCGUAGAAAAAUACCUGCGGAUUCACACCUAUCCAACUGCCAAUGCUUAAAGGACAUCACUAUAUAUAUCUACGAUAAAGAGAUUCGCACUUCCUAGUUAAUCUCGUAUUAAUCAGAGCUUACUUACCAAUCAAGAGAUGACGCAACUUCUGCCACUUAUUCAAGAUCAGACUCCCUUGCUCCCUCUUUCAGUGCUCAUUCCUAUUUAUGUUCCCCAGCUUAUCGUACUGACUCAGCGGGGACUUAUUCAACUGCCUCCGCCGGAACAGAUCGAAUGACUACUAAAGAGAGAGUUUUCCAUGUUACGGGGGUUUAUAAUGAAAACAUUUCUUCUCAUUCAAAAGAGUUACGUGAAAUUGAAUAAAUAGGGUUUGGACUCAUCGAUAAAUCCCGCCGAGAAAGUGGAAUCUUUGGAACGUCGAUAAACGGUCUCUUUUAGGAUCAGUUAGCAUUUGCUACACAUAGACUUUUUGUGCUGUGAACUCUUUCAUCCUUUUUGGGGAACUAGGGGGAGGGAUCAACCACGCCUUUCCCACGUCAUCCAUUUUCUUCGGACUGUGCUUUUUUCUCAUUUUCUCUUUUGAAAUACGCAACUUGAGUUCGUAUUGCUGACAAAGACGUGUUCAUCUUUGGGCUUAGAUUUCUUAAUACCCGCGAAUAAGACUCAGGAAAAAGGUUCACAGGCGCAUCCAUCAAAAAAGAAGAGAUAAGGCUUGAAUAGGAAUAACUGGAAAAAGAAAGAAAGCGAGCGUCUUUGGUGCUUCGGCUUCUUCCAUCUUUUUCUCAAGUGAUCAUUCUUUUGCCCAUUUAAGGAAUGGAGCCCGAGAGUCCUCAGAAAUGUCAAGGGCGCGCAGCCUAGCGUGUGGAUAGAGGGCACACAGAUCUUUAGGUUUUUGAACGAUUGCCGAUAAGUUCAGUUCAGGGCUCAGAUAUGGGGAGAUAGCUUACCAUUGGGUAGGUCAUCAUCUGAGAAGGAUAUGGCCAUCGGUGCAGUGAGAAUUCCUACAUAUAGGUCGGUGCUUUCUACAGGUACCCGGGCAUCGGACAAAAAGGGAUUUCAAACUUCCUGGUGCUUAGGAGGAGUUUGUAGGAGCUCUAGGAUGGAUAUGGAGGCUUGGGUCCUAUUGAGUGAGUUGUCCUAACAAGUCAUAAGUUCUUGGCCUCUCUCUCUCUUUCUUCUUGUGCCGUGUGCUCAGGAUGGGAGUACCCUACCUGACCUAAGGAUUGUCCUAUUGGUCGUCAUCAAAGAAGUUCAAAGGUAAUCCCUCUAAGCCAAUAUAAUAUGGAUGUCCUUCUUUCUCCUAGAUAAGAGGCUUUCCCCAUUAGUGCGUGUGUAUCUAGUAGCUGGCCUCCUAGUGGCUAUCCUCUUUCUUUCAGUCCUAAGCUAAGUCCCUCUUCUUAUGUAGGGGCUUCUAAUCUAAGGUACCUCUGUCCCUGGGAAAGUCUUGGAUUCUUCAAAAGAGCAUUCUCAACUUCUCUGUUUAUCGUCCUCUAUUUUCUUUGAAUUUUGAUUGAACUGAACCUUCUUCGAUUUGAGUAUAUAACAAGUAACCUAAUAGGAUAACUAACCAGGAAUCAACGCGCGUAGUUGCGAUAAAAGCCACUUCCUUCUCUUUGUGCGCAGAAUUCAGUUCUUUCUUACCAAAAAGAGUUUCCACCAGAAAAGGAAAAGCGCGCAGUCCCCUCUUUCCGCCUUCCUACCCUUCCCCGCAGAGUCCUUCCUCAGGGCUCGAACCUGCUGCAAUGGACCAACUCCUCAUUCUUGGACCGAAUGAGACCUCUAUAGAAGUUGUGGACUAAUAUGAACUACUCCUCACUUCGCGGACUUUCACGCUCACAAGGAUUGGAACCGUAGACAUUGGGUAAUAUAUCAGAGAAAAGGGGAAUUAUUUCGUUUUAUUAAAGAAAAAAAGGGGAUUCGAUUUCUUAAGUAAAGAUAAGGAUAGAUUUAGAUAAGUUAUCUAAACUUUAUCUUCUUCAUAUAUUAAACCUUUUUCAUAUAUUCAAAACUCUAUCUUCCUUUUUCUUAUAUUAAGCUAGCUAACAACUGAACUAAGAGCUAUUAUUUCUUACGAUUAUAUUACACACGACUGUAAAGACGCGAUAAAGUCAGCCACCCGGAGGAAGGAUAAGAUAGGCAGCACGUCAGAUAAGAUGAUGAGGAAUCCUUAGACUUACGGGCUGGAAUGUGCCGCUUCGCUUAGUCGACUGAAAGAGAAUCGACCUACUUCACUGUGAAUGCCGUACUUCAUCCCGUACUCUGAGCUAAAGGUCAUACUGACUUCCAGAGAAAAGUGAAUAUAUGGAUUUCUUUCGUUUUCUAUCUCGUUCGUAAACUAAAUCUUCCGCUUAUCUGAGCAUUGAGCCUGACUUUCUUCUGAACUUAUAUAAAUGCCUUUCGCCGCUUCGCGCCUACUACGCGGCAGAACUGGAGGCAAGCAACUCAUAUUCAUUCAGCCUACUACGUCCAGAGGAGAGGAGGCCCGAAGCUUUAGCUGGAGGAGGAAAGGCGCGGAGCGAAGCGACUGUUAAGGAGCGCAAAGGAAGACUCUGUAGGAGCCGGAGUUAGGAGUCUUAAAGAGCAGAACCUACGAACCGGAGGCAAGUUACCCAAAUAAGAAGAACGAAUCUUGCAUUCAGCCUCCGGACGGAGCGAAGCGACUGUUAAGGAGCGCAAAGCGACGUAGGAGUCCUCCGGAGUGUUACCGGAGGUAAGGGUCAAAGAAUAUGGAUCAGACUAUUAAGGAGCGCAAAUCGACUCCUACGCCUAUCUUAAUGAUGACGAAAGACUAUCCAAAACAAAUGUAUGGCAACUCAUAUUGCAUUCAGCCUCCGGACUGUGAAAAGUCAAGUCAAGAAAAAAGAAAAGAAGAAUUCACUCAUUAACUCGAAUGAAAGAAUAAUUCUGAUUUCAUCACCUUGUUCAUUGUACUCAAAAUGAAUCUGCUAGAUUGAAGACGGAGGGAAAUCAAUGAUUUUGCUAGGUUUUGCCCAUAGGGAAGUAGCAAGAAAAGACAAAAAAUCAGUCAAAAAAGUACUUUUAUCGUAGAAUAUCAAUAUGAGAAAAAGUCCUAUUUUGCUUCAAAAAAGCCGGGAAAUAGCAAGGCAUUGUCCUAUUUGAUUUUCGAAAUGAACAUAGUUUGUGAAAACUUAGAGUUUCUGGUCCGGAGAAAUACGGGUCUAUUCUUUAUUCCCAAUGAACAAGGGCCUAGGGGCGGUAAACAAAGGGAAGGAACUCAGCUUCUGCUGCAACCGCUACGUGGGCAGAAAGGGAUGCCCCUUGCCUCUCCCUUCUCUUCUGCUGAUUGAGCCUAGCUUCCCAACCGACCUAUGAGAGAUAGCAGGAGGCGCGGCGGCGGUGUAGCCUUUGCUUCGACCUUGAAAUCUUCUUUGAACCUUGUUUUCAUGUGAAUGCGGUGGCAGCAAGUUGGAACCUUUUCUCAUUUUCUUUGAAGAGGGAGGGGACAAGAUAUGUUAAUUAAUUAAUCAAUACGCCUGCCUUACGAAAGAGAGACCUUACGAAAGAGAGAGAGCUCCCUAACCUAGCAGAGAUGAGGCGACUUCUGCACAGCUACUUCUUUUUUCAAGAGAGAAGACUCAAUUCAUGACACUCGGCCGGAUGAGCUUACUCAUGUAACUGAACGAAGUGGAAAACCCGCAAUACGAGAGAGAGCGUCGGACCCGAGGUCCCCUCCUUUACACUGGGAAGGCGGGCAUACGGGGAGCCUAUAUAUACGGCGUAUACGGUUCUCGUGAUCGAUCCGGAACUCCUUAACCCGCUACGUGGGCUUUCCUUCACUCAUUCUCCCUCUUUUUGAGAGAAAAGCAAAGAAGAAAGCCUAUCAAAAGGAGGCUCAUAUUGCUCAGAAGAAGAAUUGCAUUUUGAUGCCUUCUCCAUCGCUUGAUACUACGCCUAUCCUUUACCGGCAUCUCCGAGACCGCGGUCCACUAUGUUCAAGCUCCAUUGGGCGCCUGGCGUCCAAAUUGUGCUAACUCAAAGAUCGAGAUACAAAGCCAGAACUAUCUCAUACUCAAUUCUCAUUGAGUUCUAUUACGAGAUUUCUCAAUUCUUCUUUCUUCAAUUCAUAGACCGAGCUCAUCUGCACCCUUGUUUUUCUACGAACUGAAACAUAGCUUCUGAAAGAGGAGACUGAUUCCUAUGCUACAGGGACUGAUUCCUCUGGAUCCGGAUGUGACCUUUUCUUUUCAUCCCCUUCUUCUCUGAAAAGCAGUUCCAUUCCUAUGAGCCGGCGACCACUCAAUCUGGUUUCCGAUUGAGGCGCCCUACUUUGGAGAGUUUUGAAGCACAAGAAAGCCGUUGGUCUUUGACUCUCAAAAUGGGGUUUACGGGGGGGUGAAGAUUGUGUUCACAUCUUUUCUUCUCAUCUCACUUUGGGAUCUCGUUUUCACAAAGGCGUUAGGAAAGAGAUAAGGCCGACGGCCUAGGUCAAGAGAUCUAGCAAGAGCAGACUCUUGUUCAAGGACAGCUUCCACAGCUACAACGGCUUCUUCUGAAAGUGAAAGAACUGAAACAUCGUCCCCUGCCGCUGGUCGAGACGCUGCCGGUUCUUCCUAUUUGGAUGAGAAUUCCCUAUCUGCCUCCCCUAUUGAUUGAUGUGAAAAUCCGCCUUUUUACCGCGUAGGAGGUGAAAUGUAAUAUGAGAAGACUUAAGAGGAGCGCACACUGGAGGCACGGAAUCGACUACUAUACUAAAUAGGGUUCGAAGAAGAUCGACUGUGUUGGAGAUAGAGAGAUUAGAAGACUCCUACUACGUGGCACGGAAUAAGACGGCAGAGAGAGGAGAAGUACUUUUGAGCUCUUUCUUUGCACUCCUUAACAGUCUCUUCUUCUCGGAGUAUUCGUCUUCUUUGCGCGACUAUCUUUCUCUCUUGAAUUCAUGCGCUUCGCUUCUCAUAUUUCAUUGAACCUUCAGUUUCAUUUUAGUAGGUUGUCGCUUCGCUUCGCGCCUGUCGAGUUUCAGAUAAAGAGUCAAAUCUUUGAAGAAAGAAGCAUUGACAUUAGAAUCCGAGUCAAUUCAUCAAUCAGCCCUUCUUUCUUUUAGCCUUAUCAUGAGAGCAUUCAACAGCUGCUACUGAAGAAA